UACAAAAUGACCAAAUUGCCUUCAUUUUCUUCAUCUCCUUCUCUUCAAUCUUGCUCAUCCAGGUGGCAGAAGAGAUCUUGCUCAUCCAGGUGGCAGAAGAGAGCGAGGGCGUACGUCUGGGUAUGGACAGAGGGGUGGGUGAGGGCGAGGCGACGGCCGAGGACAUGUGUGUGGAUAUGGAUGAUAGUUUCAGGGGUAUUUUGAGUAUAAAAAAAAGAUAUAAAUGAAAUUGUAACGAAAUACUGAUAGUGGAGGCUGAAAUAAAUAUUUUUUAUUUUUUAAGGGGGUAAAAUGUAGAUUUUUUAAUGAUAGGAGAAAAGCGAAAAAGCGGAUAUUGACGAUAAGAUUAUCAGUAAUUUAGCGAGAUUUUUCAAUCAGUUUAUCGUAUAAAGUUAGCGCUUUUUAUGCAUCAAAUAAUCAUUCUAUGCUUAAAUAUAUAUAUAUAUAUAAUAUAUAUAUAUAUUAUAUAUAUAUAUAUAUAUAUAUAUAUAUUAUAUUAUAUAUAUAUAUAUAUAUAUAUAUAUAUAUAUAUAUAUUAUAUAUAAUAUUUUUUUAAGUAUAUUAAUAUUUUUUAUUUUAUGAUAUUUUACAAACACUAAUUUUUGUAUUCGUUUACAUGAAUGAUAAAUUAUGAAUUUUGAAGAAAUGUUCAGAAAAUAUAUUCUUUAGAAAAGCAUAGAUUGUUUCUUCUUACGACUACUGGGCUCUACAAGAAACCGAGUUCGAACGCUGCACCUGCACCACACACCCAUCCUCCGACCACUCCUCCUCCUCCUCGCGCCCCUCACCCAACCCCUCUCCAACCCCUCUCCACCCCAAAAACCUAACCGUAACCCUAACCCUAACCCUAAAUCCUUCCACCCUCUCCGACCUUCCCCACCUCUCCCUGCCCCGCCUCCUCAAAUCGUGCGCCCGCUCCUCCUCCCUCUGCCCAAGCCUCCGCCUCCACGCCGCCGCCCUCAAGUUCGGUCUCCUCUCCUCCGACCCCUUCGUCGCCUACGCCCUCAUCUCCUUCUACUCCUUUUGUGGCGUCCCCGACCUCGCCCUCCGAGUGCUCGAUGAAUUGACCCAUCGAGCCACCUCCGCCCUCUCCUGUACUGCCGCCGACGCCGCGGCGCUUCACUCCGACCCCCCGCCGCGCGCGCGCCCUCUUCGCGCGCAUGCUCGCGUCCUCCGUCGCUCCUGACGCCCAUGCCCUCGUCGGCGCCCUCGCCGCGUGCGCUGAGGCGAGCUCCUUCCCUCUCGGCUGCGCCGCCAACGCCAUUGUUGUGAAAAGGACCUCCGCGGAGCUCUCGGUCGGAGCUCUCGGUCUUCUUGGGCGCGGUGCUCGUCGACAUGUACUGCAAACGCAGCUGCGGGUGCGACACCAUCACCGUCUUCCAUUCAGUCCUGGAACACAAUAAGACCACCCAAAUGCGAAAUGCCAUUAUCCACGGGUUGGCCGCUCAUGGACGGGGAGACGAUGCACUCCAACUGUUUGACGAAAUGGUUAAGAGAGGCGUGUGGCCCAACGAUGUGACCUUUGUGAGCCUCCUUAAAUGCUAGUGCGAGAGGGGAAAUCCUAUUUUGAUGUGAUGAUGCAAGAUUACGGUAUUGAGCCAACCAUAAAGCACUAGGGGUGCAUGGUGGACCUGCUAGGCCUGGCGGGGUUGCCCGGAGAGGCUUUCAAGACGGUUCUCAAGAUCCCUGUUCCACCCGAUCAUGUCAUAUGUAGGGCUCUUCUUAGUGCGUAUAGUGUGCAUGGCGACUUAGCCAUCGCGGAACAAGUGAUGGGAAGGAUAACUAGAGAGGGAUGUAGUCCGGUAGGAGAUGAGCCGCUAUAUGAUUAUGUCGAACAUGUACCAGAAAGCAGGCUUGAGUGAGAAGAUGGCUGGGGUCAGAACAAUGGUUGAGAGGAUGCCAAAAGGUAGAAGCUGGAUUGAAUUUCGAGGGAAAACAUUUGAGUUUGGAGUUGGGGCCAAUGAUUCUACGUGCUCAAUAUGGGCAGAGAUCGGGGCAAAGUUAAAGGAGCUAGAUGAUCAAUUUGAGAAAGAAGGGAGUGAGUGUGCUAAUGGGAACCACCAUAGUAAGAGAGUUGCUGUUGCUUUCAGUUUGAUUAAGAUUGGCGGGUCAAUGCCGAUUAGAUUAUUCAAGAACAUGAGGAUAUGCAGGAGUUGUCACGAGUGGAUGGAGAUUGUUUCAAAGCAUUGUGGGAAAGAGAUUGUAGUUAGGGAUUGUAAUCGGUUUCAUCAGUUUGUUGAAGGGCUAUGUUCAUGGAAGGAUUAUUCGUGAGUUUGUAGACUUUGGUACUGUCUUUACUUGUCAUAUGGUUGUCAUAUGAGAGACCAUGAUAGUUAGAGAACCACUAUUGUUCUUCUAAAAAUUGGCUAGACAUGAUGGGGAAAAGAGAGAAGGCAUUCAGAUGUUGAUAAUGUCUUAAACAGGAGUUGAAUAUGCAAUGACUUGAUGAAAGCGCUGAACUAUUAGAGGCGCCUACUUGGAUGUUGGAAAAGUUGUCCGCUGUUAACUUAUGCCUACAAUUUAGGGGUUUUGAUUUCUAGCUUUCUAGGAUCUUCAUAACUCUGUUCUUUCCAGACAGUAUGUUCCACCUUCAAUGUCAUUUAUCAAUUUUCGUUCAGAAUAAUUUAGAAAUUGGAUAUAUUAUGCAGUUGUAGACAUUUUCUGUACCCCUAAUCAACGAAUUACAACAUGCUUCUUGAGGAAAGUAAGGCACUACUUUUGAAUAGAUUAUUCAUGUAUCCAAAUAGGCCCUUAACUCUAAAGCCGAAAUUCAUAUCAGAGAAUGUGCUGAAAAGCAAUGCAUCAGUUUUCAACUGAUUAAUGAUAUUAUUAUCUAAGCUAACAUGUAUCAACAUUCAACUACGAGUAAUAAGAUUGCAAGGUUCUGGCCUUGGAGGGAAGAAACAAAUGGUCAGAAUUAGUAUCCAUGAUUUCAUCAUUGUUUGUUUCAUUAAUGUCAUAAAUUCGUGUUUGAUUGAGCUAUAUUUGUUUGUUGAGAUCAAUGGUUAUUCAAAAAUAAAAAAUAAAAGGUGAAAACCUACCUGUGGUACAUUACAUUGUUUUGUCUUGUUAAUUUUAAUGGUUGAUUGCUACGAUGUUAUGAUAUACUUGCUAUCACCGUAGAGCAAACUUUUCAGUUUGAUGUAUUGUGAUGCGUCAUUGUUUAGAGAGGCUUGAGUCCAGCUAUUUGAGUCUGUACCAGGCAAAUUGCCAAAUUGUGAAACAGAGAGCCUAUUGAAUUUUCUUAAAUGUGAUAGAGAUAUAAAAUAAAAAGAUUCAAAAUUUAAGUAAAAUUUAGAUUAUCGUUUAUGCUUAGUUUUAUGACAUUCUAUUUAAGCUGGAACUUAUAUUUUGAGGUUACAGUCUAGAAGCUAGACAGAUUUGCCUGCUCAAAUUAACCUUUAGUUUCUACAUGUUAUUUGUAAUAAUCUCGAGACGUGAUCGUCUAUCAUCUAAGGGCCUAUUUGUAUGUCUAAACAAGUUAUUUAUUGACAACUUGUCCACUUCGUGGAUUUUUCUUUUAGGCUCUGUUUGGAUGCAAACAUCUAGUUUAGCACAUCUCUUUCAUUUAUUUAAGUUGGUAGAUGAGUAGUGUGUUCAAAUGUCUAGAAAAGCUACCAUAUUCAGCCCUCAAGAUGUUUACUCGGAACAAGAUUAAUCAUCUCGUAGGUGAAAUACAGCCUUCCAAGGAGCUAAAAUGAAACUACCAUAUUGCAAUUACACAAAAUCCUUAUAGUGCAUAAACUAUCACCGGAUAACUUGUUCCAACAUCCCACCAAGGCCUUACCAUUGAAAGCUAGGAAUUUGAUUUUAGCUCCUUGCAAGGUUUUAGCAGUCAUGAUUUGUUAGGAUAAUGUAUUUCACCUAUGAAGUGAUUUACUUAUUUAGAGAAUGACUUGGAGGCCGAUGGUGUGCAUUUCGAGACAUUUUAAUCAUUCUCUUCAUCUACCAAAUGCUACAAAUUUCUUAGGUAAAUAAAAGAAAUGUGUUGAACAAAAUGUUCAUUCAUCCAAAGAAUCUUACAUGUAUUUACCUUUAGAUUUGCAUAAUUUAUAAGAAAAUCAAGGAUGAACCUUCUGGUUUAGUAUGAUUAUAUGAUAUUGGAGGCUAGUUUUGAUGAUUAAUCUAAGUUAACAGUCUUUUGGCAAUAAUUUCAAAUAUGGAAAGCUAUAGUGUAAAUGAGGAUUGAAUUCAUUUGUUUCCAUUAAAUAUCGUGCUUUGGCUUUCACGUGUUUCAUGUAAGAGGGUUUUUACUUCCUGAAAUAUGAUUGUCUGCUCCUUGUAAGUGACAAUACGAUUUAUUUUGCAUAGAAAGCUAGAGAAUAAUGAGGAUGUGAGUUCAUUUAUAUCUGUAAGGGAUUGCUUGCUUAGGCUUCGACAUAUUUCAUUCAAUAGGUUUUUACGGUCCUAAAAUAUGCUGUUUGAUCCUUACAUAAUUUAGGAUAAACUUCAAAUUACCCUUUUGUGGUAUGCAUAUAUUUUACUUUGCCACCUUGUGAUUCAAAAAGUUGCACUUUGUUCCCUUGUAAUUUUUUUUCACCAAAAAAUUUUAUUUCAAAUAGGAUGACAAAGUAAAUAUUUUUGAAAAAACAUAGGGUGACAAAGUGAAAAACGCACAAAACUACAUGGUAGUUAAGUGUAACAUUUUGAAUCAUGGGGUGACAAAGUGAAAAUGAGCUAUGUUGGGUUAGUGAUAUCAAAUUCACUUAUUAGCCUAAUUGGUUUUGUUUUGGGUUUGGUUCAACAACUCAUGUAAUGGGCUAGUUAGUAUUUGGUUUGAGCUUUAGUUGACCCAUUUGGUAUGUUGGGCCAAGUGGAGUUAAGAGAGAACUCUUUGGGUUAGAGAGAGUGGGUUCUCAUUUUUGCUCUCUAGGUUUUCCCUUUUCUUGUAAUAGAGAAGAGAGGUGUAGAGAGGGUUGGAGAAGGAGCUCUCUUGUUCUUCUUGCUUGAUUCAAAGACUUCCAAGGUAGAUUGGAGGAAUUCUAAGAGGUAUUCCGAAGCGGGAUUCGCGGAAUCGGAAGGUGCUUCAAAGAAGGUGUAGCAAGAAGGGAUUUCCAUUGGAAGGUUGUAAGCCCAUUGUGAUAGAGUGGUAAUCUCUAACCAAAUCUUGUAAUCUCCUCAUUUGAUAGUGGAUUUGAUCUCUCCGUGCCCGUGGAUGUAGCCCGGUUUGGGUGAACCACGUAAAUCUUGUGUUGUUGUUGUGGUUGUGCUUGGAUUUUUCUCUUUCAACUUCAUUUACUCCAAUCUUGCAUAUCUUGGUUGUGGAUAAUUUAGAUACAUCACAUUUGUUUACUAGUGUGAUUAGUAUCUUGAUAGUGAGGGUUCCGUCAUUAGCUCACUACAAGCUAAACCACCAUAGUGCAAAGUGCAAGUGAAAAUACGCUGAACCACAUGGGGGCAAUUUGAAGUUUACCCUAUAAUUUAUGAUUCCAUAGUACCGAAUUGAUAUAUCUUAGAACUUUGUCUCAUAAAUUUGUUCAAUUAUCUUGAUAAACCAAAUGCAAGGCUUGACUAUGAAGUGAAUGCUCGAAUCAGCAUGAAAUAGUUGCCAACCCGUUCAUGUCGGAUUUUGUGUCUAAAUCAAUCAUCAUCUCAAAAAGUUUGGACUUGUUUCCUAAGUUGAACAUGCAUAUAUGAGUCGACUGAGACGACAGAAAAUUGCAACUUUUUUUCCUGGUUACAAAAGUGAUGUACAAGAAAGGGAUUCGCAUCUGAAUCUGUUAGAUUCCAUGUAUUUAUCCGCGCAUCAAUGCACAACAAUCUGAGCAAUUAUUUUUCCUAUUUUCAUUCCAGAUCAUUUUGAUUCAGUUAUUCAAUUCUGAUUCCCAUUUUUGAACCGAAAAUGCCCUAAAAGUACUUGAUCCCUCCUUAUUAGGCAAUAAUUGUUGUUGCUCACUUGUAUCUUAAUCCAUAGUUCAUUUAAUAUAUGGAUUAGUUAGCUUCAGCUCUGAUUUGCUCCAAGUCCUUUCUCUACAUGUCAUGCAUCUAUGUGUCUGCAUUGAUAUCCCACAAGUUGUAGAUGCAGAGACGUAUUUUCCGCUCUCCAUAGUCUGUUCAUCCUUUCUAUGAACUGCUCAGCUUUCUCCUUCAGCUCAUCGUCCUCCCGAAGCUCGUCCGAUGCGUCAUCCUCGACCUCAUCGCCCUCCUUGCAUCCCGCAUCUCCAUCGCCUUCUUCUAGGCUGUCAACUGGCUCACGCUCAUCGCGCUGUUUGACAAGCAGAGGAUCGGACAUAGCAGCACUAAGCAAGAGAACGGCUAUGAUGAGAUGGCAGAUGAAGAAGGCAACAAGAGAAUUUGCAGCUGAUGAAUGAGUUAUCAAUUGUACAAUUGCGGAAUGCAACAUUGCUCCCCAGGGAGGAGGUGAGAUAUUGUUGCUAUUAAUGGUUUGAAUUGCUUGAAAAGUUUUGGCUUUUGGCCUCUUAUAUAUAUGUAUGUGCCUUAAUUUGUUCUUCAAAGUGUGUAAGGGAAGCUUUUCCUUUUGUUUAUGUUGUGGAUGGUUCAGUAUAAUAAUAAGCUUUACUUGUUCCUUGGUGUGAAAGCUUAUUAAAGUGGGGUCAAACACAUAUGGGCCAUAUGAUCCUAUCUUUAUGCCAUGUGACAUCAUUAUUAUUAUUAUUAUAUUAUAUCAUACUAUGCUACAUGAAAAUUCUCAUGACUUUGUUCCUUCCUGCAGGGAUGGCAGGGUUAAAAUGCCAGGUCCUUUCUGGGCAAGGAAGCCAUCCGCUGACCAAGUCAAUUUUCUUAAUUUUUCUUUAGUGCCAUUAAUUCUGUUGUUUGGUUAAUUUAAGUUGAAAUUUGACUUGUUCGGUACCGUAGUGCCGUAUUUUUCUUUGAAUUGCUAUUUGAGUAAUGAUAUUAGAAAAAGUAUUUUACUAAAAUUCACUCAAUGAACUUUUCUUUAUAAAUGCAGAAUUUUCACUUUUAGACUCGGAAUCUUGUUUCAGUUUCCCAUCGCACUAGAAGCUGGGCAAUUUUUUGCGUGUUAAACGCUCUCCUAGAUGCAACUGCAGCUGAAGUCAAGGUACAAUCUGGGCCAAAUUGUCACUUAAGAAGUCAUUUUAUAUGUAUUCAUAUUAACUUUUUAGUUAGUCAUUUUGCAGUGGACUUAAGAUGAUUAUUAUCUAUUGAGUUGACAAUUCGACUAAUAGUGCGUCAAAUGUGUCUACCAUUACUUGUGUGGAAUGACAUUGAUUAUUUAAUUUAAACAUUACAAAAUUCUGAAUGAGAAAAUGAUUUUUCUAUGACGCAUUUAAAAUCGGCAAGUAGUGUUUCCCUUUUUCCUCUGUUUUUUCUUGUUCUUCAAUAUUUUUUAUUUUUAUUUUUUUUUCCUUGUGUUUUAUUCCUUACUGCUACUCCACGACACACAGAUUUUAUUUUGUGGGAACAUUUCGUAAACUAGUCGCAGGUUGUCUUGAACUAUUUUAUUUUCCUUUCCCUGGAUAUAUGCUUAUUUAUUUAUUUACUUUUUUCUUUUUUUAUCCUUCGUAUGUAUGUUUCGUAUAGUAUCUUUGUGGCAAGUAAAUAUAAAUAAUUAAUUUGUAGAUUGGACUAUUAAAAUAAGAAAAAUAGCGUUUGGAUAGAUAAGAUAGAAUAAAAAGAAUACUGGAUAGUUAUAAAUAGAAAAUAAUAAUAUUGUCCCUUAUAUUUAAAUUUAAAAUUUGAAUAUAUAAUUUUAAAAAUUGAAAAAUUCAAAAUAAAAUUUAAAUUUGUAAAUCUCAAAUUAAUUAUAUUAAAGUUCUAAAUUAUAAAUUUAAGAUUAUAUUUAAAUUUAAAAAUAUCAAAUAUCAAAUAUCAAAAUUUAAAUUUAAUAAAUUAAAAAUAAUAAUNUUGAAUAUAUAAUUUUAAAAAUUGAAAAAUUCAAAAUAAAAUUUAAAUUUGUAAAUCUCAAAUUCAAAAAAUUAAAGUUCUAAAUUAUAAAUUUAAGAUUAUAUUUAAAUUUAAAAAUAUCAAAUAUCAAAUAUCAAAAUUUAAAUUUAAUAAAUUAAAAAUAAUAAUUUAUAAUAUAUAAUUUAAAAUUUAUUAUUUAAAAUUUAUAAUUUAAAAUUAUAAAUAUUAAUUUUAAGAUUACAAAAUUUUAAAUUUAAAACAUUUAAAAUUUAAUUUUUAAUUUUUAAUUUUUAAUAUAAAAAUUAAAUAGGGGUGAGAUUAGCUAAUUCCAUCCCUAUUCCAAAGGGAGGGUGCUAACCCCACCCUUAUAAAAAAGUGUUUGGGGAUUAUGGGGCUGGGCGGGGGUGGGGGGAGAUGGGGAUAACCCCUUAUCCCCCCCUUAAUCCCCAACCAAACACCAAUGGUUGUCACACCCCAAUAAUUUCACAUCGGAUAGAAAUAGAGAUGUGAUUGGAUAUAUAAGAGAUUUAAAUACUAGUAAUAAUAACUGAACUUAAGCAUUUUAGGCCGGUGUUUGGGCCCAACGAGUUAUUGUUGCUAGUGGGCUGGGUCGUUACAGUUAGUAUCGGAUCUGAUUUACCAGCCGAAAAUGUGUGGCGAGUCUCGACCAGGGUCUGGAUGAUAAGGCUAGCGGGCCUGGUGAUUUUAGGCUGUGUGUGUAAUUGGAUUGACGAGAACGUCAGGAUCUUAAUGGGGGAUUGGAUUGAUGAGAACAUCAGGAUCUUAAUGGGGGAGUCUGUCACACCUCAAUAGUCCUACAUCGGAUAGGAGACUCGGGAGAGUCUGUCACACUUCAAUAGUCCUACAUCGGAUAGGGGGAGUCCGUCAUAUCUCAAUAAUCCCAUAUCGGAUAGGAAUGAGAAUCUAAAUUAGACACUAGUAAUAAUAAUUGCACUUAAGCAUUUUGGACUGGUGUUUGGGCCCAACGAAUUAUUGUUGCUAGUGGGAUAGGUCUGGGCCCAAUAAGUUAUUGUUGCUAGUGGGAUAGGUCGUUAUAAUAGUGCAAUUCUUUUACUAUAUAAUGUAACAUUUGUCCCUAUAAUGCAACUUUGUUUUAAAUAGUACAAUAUCGCAUCGUUUGCCAGAAUUUUCUCUCGUACUACAGCCACCAUCACAUCGCCAUCGGCAAUGCUUGCAUUACAAACAUGCUUUAGAAAUAUUCUCGAUAAGGAUCAUCACCCUUCUCCUUUGCUACCUUCGUCUCAAUCUCUAGUGAAGCUUUGAGUGGACACGACGGUCGUCUUCCUCUUGAUCGUCAAGAAUACCACGAUGCGGACGCGAUAGAGGAGUUGGUGUCGAAGCAGCGGUGGAGGUAGGAGGGGUGCUCGAGGCUGCCGGUUGGGUGGACACCAUGGGCCUUCGAGGCGGAGGUGGUGGGGUGUUUAAUGCACAUAAAUAUUUUGGCCAGUUUUCAAAAAAAUAGAGCAAAAUUCGUAAAACGAAAAAAAAAUAACAGACUUUCGUAAAAGUACAAAACUAAUAAAUUUUUUAUACAAAAAAAAUCGUAAAAUUUUAAUAUUUUUUAUAUUCAAUAUACAUCACACUUUCAUUUAGAACAUUCCGAAAGAAAUCGAUUCUUCUAGAGCGAGCUUUAUGAGGCACAGAAUUACUUUUCUUUAUCUCUUUCCUUCACCUGCAUUAAAUUAAAAUUUUCUCUUCCUUUCGGGUAGUGAUUGCAGAGAAUACAGAAAUACUCAUCCCAAUAUUUUAUUUGGUUUCUGGCCUGCUAAGUAACAUAUAUGUUGCUAACUGUACCCAAUUAGUAUUCUCGUUCCAAAUUCCAAAUUGGGCCGAUUGCUUUAGUCUCCCUCCACAUUCGCAUUCGAAAAAUAAAAUUUCUUCUUGCUUUUUCUUCCUCCGCAUUCGCAUUCGCAUUCGAAAAAAAAUCCGUUUCUUAUCUCACUGCCGGAAAUUCAAGCGGUUUGAUUGUAACACGGCGGCUCCCCUCCGUUGGUAAGUCUCAGAGCCUCAUUUUCUGCUCUCCAAGCUCUGUUCAUCUUCUCGAUGAACUCCUCCGCUUUCUUCUGCAACUCUUCGUCGUCGUCGUCGCCGUCGUCCCCACGAAUCACAGUUGGCACAUCCUCCUCCUCCUCCUCCUCCUCCUCUGCAUUGUCCUCGUCAUUUUCCGCAUAUCUAUUGCCUUCCUCCAAGCUGUAAAUAAUAUUAAUGGACUCGGACCCGCAGUUUUCUUCUACAGUCGGUCGUCGAUCGGGAGCCGAGACCGCGACGGUAAGCAAGAGAACGGCUAUGAUGAGAUGGCAAACAAAGAAGGCGAGAAGAGAUGAAGUGGUGGUGGAUGAUGGCCGAUCUAUGAACUGCCCUACAGUUAAGAGUAGCAUCGUGCUUAGGGGAUGUAAAUACUAAAAAAUGGUGCUUGUGUAUUGGUUUAUAGUUGAAGAAAAAGUUGCGUAGCUUUGGCCUUUUAUAAAUGCUUCUGCUAAUAAGUGGCAAUUAGCUCAGGUGUGCAGGGGAAGAAGCCUUUGGGGCUUUUCCGGAGAAGUCCCAACGAGAAGAUUCAGUACAGGUUCCUUGGUGUGAAAGCUUUACUCCAGGUCAGGUCAAACAUAUAGUAAUAGUUUAGAAGAUAUUAGGGAAAACUUCAAAAACUCCAUUGUGGUUUUAAUUUUUUUCACUUUAGUAUCCUGUAGUUUAAAAUGUAUUAAGUUAGUACCUUAUGGUUUCUCAUUUUAUCACUUUAGUACCCUUUAGUUUAAAGUGUAUCAAGUUAGUCCCUUGUGAUUUUUUAAAUCACAUGGUACUAAAGUGAUAAAGUGCAAAAUCACAUGGUACUAACUUGAUACAUUUUAAACCAUAGAGUACUAAAGUGAUAAAGUGAGAAACCACAUGGUACUAACUUGAUAAACUUUAAACCACAGGGUAAUAAAAUAAAAAAGUGUGUAACUACGGGGGGGGGGUUGAAGUUUUCCCAAGAUAUUAUAAUUAUUAUUAUAAGCUCAAUUUGAUGAGACGAGCAUUAUGUUAUUAUUUUAUGGAAAAACUUCAAAAACCUCUCCCGUGGUUUCGCACUUUCUCACUUGAGUGCCCUGUAGUUCAAAGUAUAUCAAUUUGGUGUCAUGUGGUUUCAUUUUUAUCUUUUCUAUAGCUUUUUCGUUAAUAUUUUAUUAAAUUAUAUAUAAAAAAACUUCAGAUACCCACCUAGGUUUAUCGAAUAUUUACUUUAGUACCCUUUAAUUUUAACUUUGUCACUGAUUUAAGGGAAAAAAAAUAGUAAGAUUGAUAAUAAAAAGAUAAAAAUAAAACCAUAGGGCACCAAAUUGGUACACUUUAAACCACAUGGCACUUUAGUGAGAAAAUGCUAAACCACAGGAGAGGUUUUUGAAGUUUUCCCUUAUUUUAUUGAAUACAAGUCAAGAUAUCUGUGUGCUGCGACGGGUAGAUUUCUAAAAAUAGAUAAAAAUGUAAAAAAGGUCAAAGAAAAAAAAAAAAUACAAUAAAAAAAAACUAAAGAAGAAACAGCAACGCCAUAGUAAAAGUAUUAAAAUAAAAAUAUAAAAAAUAUAAAAGAAGAAUAAGAGAAAAAUCAUAUGAAUAAUAAAUUAUAUUUAUAAUAGUAAUAAAAGUUUAAAACUAAAAUACCAUAUAACUCAUAAUUCUAGUUAGAAAUUACAAUUACUUAAAGUAUGAUCUUUAAAAUAUCACGUCUUAUAGUUUGAGCAAGAAAAUAUAACCAUUAAAAUUCGACGACUAAAGUGUAAUGCGUCUUAAAGUUUGAGGACCAAAAGCAUAACUUAUCAUUUUAUUCUAGAUGACGAUAGAGUUGAGUAUUGAUAAGUUUUUUUCCGAUCAGUAAUUUUAUUCGAGAAAAGAAAAUAUUAAGCUAUCUAAUAAAUUUUAAAAUGUCUAAUUGUUUAAAUUAAAAAUCAACUAUUCAUAUUUCGGUAAUUCUAAAAUAUUUUAUAUGUAAAAUUAAUCACUCGUCAGAUAAUAAAUAUAAUAUUGAAGUUUGAUACUAAAAUCAAAGUAAAAAUAUAUAGAAUUUUUUGAACUAUGACCCAUUUUGAAUCAGCUAUUCAACAUUUUAAAAUUUUAUUUUAACUAUCCAAUCUUUUUAUAUGUUAGAUUUAAGUCAACGAAUGAUGCUUUGAUUUUAAAAUUUAAAUACGUUGUUUAACUUUACAGAUUUAGUAAAUAUACUUUAUAUAAUUUUCACACAUAAAUGUAUUAAAAUAAGUAAUUAUAUUAGAUUAAAAUAAUGAGUCCGAUUCUUCAGUCCAAAAAAAUGGAGAGAGAAAAAAAUUAAAAUAAAAAAUAAAAACAAAAUGUAUCCACCCGUACCACCAUCUCCAGGGUGGCCACGCCAUCCCCAAGCCCACCCCCUCGCGCUCCAGUCCCCUUCUUCGCCACGUGUAUCUUUAAUCUAUUAGAUUUAACUAGUUAAGGAACUCGCGCGACGCUGUGGAUAGUUAUUUUAAAAUUUAAUUUUAAAAAUUAGUUAUAAAAAUAAAUUUUAGAAUUUAAAUAAUGCAAUAAGUAUAUCAAAAAAUUUUAGUAGGCAUAGUAGUCCCCCCAUUAGUUAGUGAAAUAAUUUUAGUAGGUAUCGUAGGCCCCCAGUAAUUAGUGAAUGAGAAGAGAAAUUAUUAUUUGUUAUUCUCGCAAUUAAUUUUCAUCAAAUAUAAAUUAACUUAAGCUACAUCAAUUUUUUUUUAUUUUUUAAUAUACAAUUUAUAUGUGAAUACUCAAUAUUAUAAAAUUAAUAUUUAUAUUUAAUACCAGUAGUCUAAAUUAUUUAACAUUUAUUUAUAUAUUUUAUAUUUUAUAAAAAUAAAUAGUAAAAAUAUGUAACAUAUUAUUAUAUAAUAAUAUUCUAUAUACAAAUAAAAUACUAUAUAUAAUAAAUAAUAUUAUAAUAAAUAAAUAUAUAUUUAUAAAUAAAUUUAUUAUAAAUAAAUAAUUAUAUUUAUAAAUAAAAUAUAUUAUAUAUUACUAGAUAUAUAUAUAUAUUAUAGUGGGCUGGUAUGCUUCUGUAAGCACGAGAGCCUUCCGGACUUCCAGUUUUUCGAUGUAUGGACUUAUACGAACAUCGACGAUCGCCUCGUUAGUUGACUAGGUAUUUGAAGUACCUAGAAAAUAAAUUCGCGAUUUUUCGAUAUGAUUUCCUGUGAUCGAAAAAGGGAGCUCAAAAAUCAAUAAUCUUUAACGGUGUGCGUGAGCCGUUUGCAAGUUAACGGUUGUAGGAAAUAUCAAAUCCAUGAAAUUUUGAUAGAAAAUCUUUAUUACCAUAUAAAACAGAUUCAAUAACUGUUGAUCUAAAAUUUAAUAUCAUUAUUUCAUCAGUAUUUUGUUAAGAUUUUAUUUCAGCCGUUGAUUUGGCCUCUUCGUUAUCACUAGGCAAAUGAUAUCGAAAUCCGCGAAAUUUAUUUUCUAGGUACUUCAAUACUCUAGAUCAAGUCUAACGGGCAUCGUCGACUUCGAAAGGGGCCAACAUCGAAAACAACUUGGAAGCACGGCAGUGCUCCGUGUUCCAAAAGCACCCCAGACGCAACUCUACUAUUAUAUAUAUAUAUAUAGAGAGAGAGAGGGAGCGGAGAGGGAGUGAGGAGAGAGAGAGACCCGGCAGACGAGGACGAAAGGACGAUCGCUCUCGUCCCUUUGUGGCGGAAGGCGACAAGUUGUGCGGUCACCGUCAACGGGGAGAUUUGACUGAUUUUAGAGAGAGAGACGGGGGGCGCUCUACGCGCCGAGAACGAGAUACCAAGAAUGGCGUUAACUUGGUCCACCUCUUCUUGUGUUGCAAUACUGUCACUGCUUCCUGAGCUGAGCUACUGCGCAAUCUACGGACUGUGCUAGGUUUUGCCUCACUUACAUACAUACGACCCUAGGCUUGAUCCGGACGCGUGUUCUAAUUGGGCACUACACCCUACAUUAUCUCCCUUAGACAGUACUUGGAGAGAGAGAGGCUGACUAGAAUAACUAUAAGUAGCAAACGAGCCGUUUUACUACUAUUUGUUUUCGUGAUAGAGCCUUCAUAAUUGACAUCGCUCCGUUAAAUAUGAUCUGAAACCAUUUCAAACUACCUAGAAAUCAAAUUCAACUAACUUUCGAUAUUGUUUUUAUCCAUCAAUGAAAAGAAAAAUGAAUGACUGAAAAUGAAUUUCUUUAAAAAAUGAUGAUAGGAGUCUUAUAAUUCAAGAAUCAAGAGUAUAGAUCUUAGUUUAAAUAGUUAAGAAUUUCUAACAAAAUUCAAUUGAUUGAAUAUUUACGCCUGUUAAUGAGAAACGCCUCUCAUUGACCAUUAAAAUUACAAAUUUUGAAACCUUUAUUCAUUUAGGCAAAUCAUGUCGAAAAAAUUUUGUGAAAUUGAUUUCUAAACACUUCAAGUGGUAUAGAUCAUGUUCAACGCGAGCGAUCUCAAUUGGAGCUCUAUUCAUCGAAAACUAAUAGGUUAGAAAACGCGCUCGUUUACUACUGAUAGUAUUCUAGCAAAAACUCUCUCUUCUCUCUCUCUCUCUCUUUCCUCUCGUCUCUGACUCCUCUCUCUUCUCUCUCUCAUCUAUUAUAUAUAUAUAGUUGAGGUGGAAUGUUAUCGGUAGCAAACGGGCUCCGUUGCUACCAAUUUGUUUCGAUGAUGGAGCCUUCAAAUCGACAAUCGGUAUCGAAUAUAAUCUAUAUCACUUGAAAUAUCUACAAAUCAAAUUUUAAAUCUUUUUGACAUCAUUGACCUAAUAAUCAAAGGGUUUUAAUUAAUGGUUGAUAUGAUGCGUUUUCUCGUUUAAAAUCAAUUGAAUUUUGGUAAAAUUCUUUAAACUAUUUAUAACAAUAUCUAUAUUCUCGAUCUUGAUUACAAAAUUUCUAUCAUCACUUUUUAGAGGAUAUUUAUUUCAGUUGUUCAUUUUUACGCCCACUUGAUGAACAAGAGAACAUUAUCGGAAAAAAAUAAAAUUUGAUUUCUAAACACUUCAAGUGGUAUAGAUCAUGUUCAACGGUGCUGAUCGUCGAUUUGGAGGCUCUAUUAUCGAAAACAAAUGGGUGGCAACGGAGCCCGUUUGCUACCGAUAGUAUUCUAGCUCAGUUAUAAUAUAUAUAUAUAUAUAUAUAUAUAUAUAUAUAUAUUUAUAUAUUAUAUUAUAAUUAUAUAUAUAAUAGAUAUAGAAGUAGAGCUAGUAUACUUGUAAAGUUAUCACCUAAGUGAUACUGUGUGUUUUAGGCCCUUGGAUGGAGAGAUGUGAGGUUGGAUGAUGGUGUAGUUGUGGUGGCUAGCGUGUAAUAGUAUUGGACAAGGGACUGAUUAGAAUAAAAAAGUAGAUCCAAAUAGCUAAAAACAAAACAAGUAUCACUUGGGUGAUACUUGUAAAGUAUUCUAGCCCUACUCAUUAUAUAUUAUAUAUAUGAUAUAUAUAUAUAUAUAUAUAUAUAUCAUAUAUAUAUUAUAUAGGUUGAUUCUAGGAUACUUUUACAGAGUAUCAUCCCUAUGUUAGCCAUCACGUUUUUAGCCAUUGGAUCUAUUGUUUGUUACAAAUAGCUCCUUGAAUCAAACACUAUUUCAGCUACCACAACCUACCACCAUAUCUCAACCUCACAUUUCUUCAUCCUCAAGGUGCUUAAAAUACACCAAAACUAUUCACUUGGGUUAUAUUGUAAAGUAUUCUAGCCCCUACUUAUAUAUAUAUAUAUAUAUAUAUAAUAUAAUAUUAAUAUUCUAUAUAUAUAUAUAUUAUAUAUAUAUAGUAUAUAUAUAGUUGGACUGGGCAAUAUUAGUAGCAAAAUCCAUUUGCUACUAGCAUUUUAGCCUGGAUCAACUCUUUUUCAUUAUUUCUAAAUCAUUGAUUAAAUACUAUAACCCGGGGAACCACUCAACCCUAGGGGGACCACUCAACUAUAACGGACUAAUAUCAUCCUGACCUACAAAUGUUCAUCAGGUUAAAAACUGAUAGCAAAAAGAGCGUUUACUAUUAAUAGUAUUCCAACUAAUUCACUAUAUAUAUAGAGUUGAGCCUAGAAUACAUUUAAGCACAAUGAGGGUGGUGCUUUAUGAGUUUCUAACAUUGGAUGGAGCGAAUGUAGGGUUGUGAUGAUGGUGUGGUAAGGUGAUGGUAGGUAGAAUAGUGUUUGAUUCAAGGCUAUAGUAAUGAAGAAUAUUAUCCAAGAGUUUCAGAAACUAAAAGCCAUUUAAUGGGGUGAUACUUUUAAAAGUAUUUACACCAUUAUAUAUAUAUAAUGAGAGGGAGAGUCACCUGACUCCUUCUCACGUGGUUCCCACGAGGUUUGGAAUCGGCGCUCGUGGACCUUGGAGAAAACACCAUUGAGCUCCCUGUUUUUCGGCUCAGCACGACCCGCACCCGCCCGCGCACCAGGCCGCACGGCGCCGCCACGAGCCGCCCCAACCGGCCCCGCCCACGCCCCGCGUCGGCUCGUACUACCGCCAGCGCCGCAGCCGCCCGUGCCAGCGCCGCCCCGCCCCCACUCCGCUCGCGCUGGCGGCUACCGCACAGCGCAGCGCCGGCUGUCAGCCGCGCCGCGCCCUCGCAUCGCGCCUCGGCCAGCCCCCGCGCCAGGCCUACUCCGCGCCGUCCCGUGCUCGCCCGCUCGCGGCUCCAGGCCGCGCCAGCACCCGCGGUCGCCCGCGGCCCUCGCCUCGCGCUGGCCGCCUCGCCACCCCCGCAGCCAUGCGCUGCUCGCGCCUUGACUGCCCCCGCUCCUUCUCACGGCUCGCCCGCGCUAGCGAUCGCAGCGCCGGGCGCGCCCUCGCCCGCGCCUCGCAGCCCCCGCCGCCAGCUGCCGCCUUUGCGCCGCGCUGCCCGCGCGCGCGCAGCUCGCCACCUCGGUGCUCAGCCCGCGCCAGCGCUCGCGGCUGCCCGCGCGCCGCUCCCUUACCCGCGCCUCGGCCUCCUCGCGACACGUGUGCAGUUAUUGAGGUAUAAUAUAUAGUUAUAGAUUAUAGAUAGAUGCUUAUUCUGCACAACAGGUAGGGAUGCAAACGGAUCCGGGUUGGUGGAGCUCCCGCCCCGAUUCGCCCCGACGGGGGCAGUAAAUAGGAGAAAAUAAACGGAUUCGGGGCGGGAAACAGGGUAAAAUUUACAAUUCGAGAUUCGGGGCAUGAAACGGGAGAAAUUUUGACCCGCCCCGAAUCCGCCUCGAAAAUUAUUUAUAUUUUUUAAAAAUAUUCCUAAAAAAUAAUGUAUUUACAAAAAAGUUCAAAAUACAAAUAAAUUAGUAUUCUCAUUUCUAAUGUAUUUGAAACUUUUAAAUUUUAUUUUGAAUUGUGAUUGAUAUUUUUUAUUUUUAUAAUUAAUAGUGUUAAAUUAUAUAUAUAAUAUUAUUGAAAAUUAUUAAUUUAUAUUUUACAAAAUAUUAAUAAUAUUACAAUUUUAUAAAAAAUAUUAGUUUGCUGGGCGGAUUCGGGGCGCCGGCGGGAGGCGGGUAACGAGGCGGGGCGGAUUAUGAGAUGUAUUUUUUAACCCGUCACGGAUUCGGGGCGGGAGGCGGGGCGGAAUUUUGCUUGUCGAGGUGGGAGGCGGGGCGGGGCUCCCGCCCCCAGAUCCGCCCCGCUUGCAUCCCUAACAACAGGCCAAUUGUUUAGGCUGCAUUUGGUUUCGAUAUAAGUAAAAAGUGUUUAUUUUAGGGAUAAGUAUAAGUUCAGAUAUAAGUAAGAAUUAGAUUAAUUUUGUAUUUGUAUGAAAAUUAGGUUUUCGGAGAAUAAGAUAAACAUUAUUUGAAUGAUUAGAUUGGAAUAAAAGGAAUAAAAGUUAUAAUUUUAAAUUAUAAAAAAUUUAUCUAAUUAAUUAACAUCAAAAUAUUAAUUAAAAAUAACUUAAUAAAUUAAUAAAUUUAUUAUCUAUGAAUAUUGUAUAAGAUAAUGAAAAUAUAUUAAUUAAUUAAUUAAAUAUAAAAAUAAUUUAAGUUUUAAUUAGUUAGUAAAUUACUUUAGUUAGAUAACUGGUAAAAAAAAAAUAGAUAAUAAAAAUAUUAAUGGUUGAUCAAUAUAAAUAUUAGUUUAUGGAUAAACACAUUAAAUUAUUAAUAAUUAAUUAGCUAAUUAAUUAUAAAUAAUAAAUUAAUUAAUUACUUUAUUAUUUAAAUAAUGGAUAAUGAUUUAAAUAAUAUUAACUAAUAAUUUAAUUUCAUAAUUAAAAUUAAAUUUAGAUUUUAAUUAAUCUUGUUCCCACUUGGGAACAAGUUUGUUCUAGAAAAAAGAAUGAAACAGCAGUUCUAGACCUAUAUCGGGUUAUACUAGUUUAUUCCAGAGACUCAAAAAUUAUUGUUCUCGAAUACAAAAAAUUAUAUUUGGAAAUAAAAAGAGGAACAAAGAUUUAUUGAUAGAUUUUUUAGAUAUGUAAAAUAAGAAGAAAAUUAAAUAUAUGCCAAAAUCUUCAGGAUCAAAAUAAAAUAAGAGUUACGCCAUAGAGAAGAAAUUUCAGAUCAACCUGCGGAAGCAAAAAGUUCGACUAUGAUCUGGAAGUCACGAAUCGAACUUGAGUAAUUUGAUUUUUCCUUCUAUCUCAGACACUCUGUCGUAUGGUGUGGAACGGAUGAUAAUUUUUCAGCAGAAUGUGUAUGAGAAUGUGGCAGGACCAAUACUCCUUUAUAUACAGUCCAGAUCGACUUCCCAUCGAAGUCUGAUUAGAAUUCUAUUUAAUUUAAAUCGAUGAGAUAAAGAUAAAAUAUACCAUAUCAAGUAGUUCUAUAUCUAUUAGAAUUGACCUUUAUUUAUAAUAAAUUUAAAUUUAAAUAUAAUUAAUUGGGUCAAAAUUUAUGAAAAUCCUAACAUUUAUUCCUUCUCUUGUUUCGGGACCAAACGGGCCCUUCGAAUAGGUAUAAUAAUGAUAAGUAUUAAAGAGAGCGUGCAGUUUAAUGCAUUUUUAGUCCGUGCCACUCAGGAAUUCAUCUGAGUGAUGCACUUGACUUGCGCCUCUCGAACCCAACCGUUUUUGAAUGCAUCAACCCAUCUAGCCCACACGCCUAAGGAUGUCAAUGGGUAUGGAUAUCCAAAAUUUUAUCCGAACCUGAAUCCGAAUGAAACGGAUAUAUCCAAUGAUAUGGAUAUGAAUUCGGAUAUGGAUAUCAAAAAUAGAAACCCGACAGAUAUGGAUUCGGAUAUGGAUUUUGAUUGUACCCGAACCCGAAUUUAUUUUGUAUUAUAUAUAUAUAUAUAUAUAUAUAUAUAUAUAUAUAUAUAUAUAUAUAUNAACUGAUUGUAUAUAUUAUAUGACAUUUAGAAUGCAUGCACAUUGAAAAUUAGAAAAAAAAAAUUUUAAAAAAAAUUUCUUAUAAAUCAAAUUAUAGUUUCUUUUCCGCCUUUGAUUAUUUAGACUAAUUGAUAUCUUAGUAACAGAUUUUAAAAUCUUAUUACUUUUGUAUGUAAAAUCUUUAGACGGUGUGUGGGUCGUAUCUAUUAGAUUGAAUUUUGAUUUUAGUAAACUUUAAUUUGCUUUUUUGUGGCUUAGCAUAUUUAUUUGUCAUCUAAUGAUUCAAAAAGUUGAAUUAACUAUCUUUUAAUUUUAUUUUUAUUUUGUGAAAAAAACUUGCGGUCAAAUCGAAUAGCAAAAUAAAAUUUUUGAAACUGUGGAGUGAUAUCCUUAGUGAAAUAAAAAUAAAAUUAUAUAAUAAUAUUAAGUGUAACUUUUUGAAUCACAUUACGAGAAAGUGAAAGUGUGCCAAACCAGAUGAUAAUUAAGUAUAACUUUUUAAACUAUAAUUGAUCUUCUCUAGCACACAAUGGUAAAGGGCUUAAUUGUUGAUACCCGAGGUCUCAAAUUCGAAAUCUAAUUAUUUCAUAUUUUUAAAUUAAUUUACUUUUAAAAAUAAUAAAUGAAGUGAGUAUCGGACUACCAUAUUCUCUCUCUCUCUCUCUCUUUUUGAAUUAUAAGGUGAUAAAAUAAAAGUGCAUUAAAAUCAAAAUGGGGUAAGUUGAAGUUUUUACUAGGGAUGUAAAUGGGUAUGGAUAUCCGAAAUUUUAUUCGAAUCCGAACCCAAAUGAAACGAAUAUAUCCAAUGGAUGUGGAUAUGGAUAUCAAAAAUAGAAACCCGACGGAUAUGAAUUCGGAUAUGGAUUUUGAUUGUACUCGAUCCGAACCCGAACCCGACCCGAACCCGAAUUUAUUUUGUAUUAUAUAUAAUAUAUAAAUAAAAAUUUAAUGUUAUAUUUGAAUUUGUAUUCCAAAAAUUUAGAUUUAAUAUAAUAUAUUUUGAAAUAUUGAAAAAAAAAUAAUUAUUUCGGAUUCAAAUUUUCGGAUUCGGAUUCGGGUUCGGGUUCGGGUUUCGGAUUUUUAGUUGGGUUCGGGUUUGGAUAUCGAUUUUUAAAAUCCGUCGGGUUCGGGUUCGGGUCUCGGGUUUGGAGUCGUGUUCGGGUUCGGAUUUUUAAAAAUCCGCCCCGAAUCCGACCCAUUGACAUCUCUAGUCACGCCGAAGGUGCCCACUUUUUCACUUUGGUUUCCAAACAUUUUUGUUUUGCAAUCAAGUCCUAUUUUUUUUAGGUCCUAACUACUAAAAGGACCAUUAAAAUUUACACCAUGCACCAUGUCAGUGCUACAUUUAGCGUCAGCUUAGCAUCUACGUAUCUUUUUUAGGGUCCAAAGUGAAAAGAAUGUAAAAAAAGUUGGGAACAAGUUGUGCAAUUAAAAUUAAAAUUUUAAACUAAAAAUCUAAAUUUAAAACUUUGAAUUUGAAUUGACAAUAUAAUUUUGAUAUAAACCUAAAUUAGAAAUUUGAAUUAGAAUUCAAAAUCUGAAAUUUAAUUUUAAAGUCAAACUCAAUAUUUGAAUUCCAAUUCAAAUUUCUAAUUUAAGUUUAGAUCAAAAUUACAGCUAUAAAUUUAAAUUUAAAUUUUAAGUAAUUUAAAAUUUUAAUUUUGUUUUUUGUUUAAAAUUUUAAUUUUGAUUUUAAUUGCAACAGUUGUCCCCAACCUUUUCGUAUUUAUUUUUCACUUUGGUCCCUAAGGCUAACAUGGCACAUUGGCACUAACGUAGUGUGCUCCGUCAAUUUUAAUAGUCAUUUUAACCGUUGGAGCCUAAUUGCAAAAAAAUUAAAAGAUCGAAUACUAAAUUACAGAAAAAAAUAUAUUGGGGCCUGAAAUGAAAAAAAUGUUCAAAAAUUAGAGACAACCAGUGCAAUAAACCUUUAAAUUUCUUUUAGGAAAUUUAUUAAGGUCUUGUUUGGUUCACUUAUUUUAAACUAUGAAAUCAAAAUGAGACUUAUUGGUUCUAAUAGUUAAUUAUUGCUCGUUUUAUUGAAAUCGAAUUUUAAUUCGUAUUCCACUUUGAAAUGAAAAUGACCGAAAGUAUUUAUGGCUUAAUCCAGUUUUUUACUUUUUUAAUGUUUCAUUUUUAAAUUUCCUUCCUUAUUUUUUAUCUAUUUUUAAUAAUUCUUUAAUUCAUCUUAAUUAAAAUUUAUAUUGAAUACAAAUAAUUUAACUUAUUUAAAAAUUAUUUAUAUAUUUUAAAUUUUUAUAAAAAUAAAUAAAAUUUUAAAUUGAAUUAAAAAAAUUUAUAAAUUUUUUUUAAUCAUAUAUUANCUUAAUCAAAACCCUCUCUUAAAAUUUUAAGAGCGCUUUUGGUUCAAAAUGAAAAAAAGGACUCGGAAUUAGAAUAGAAAUAGACAGGAAUCGAAAACAGAAUAAUAAAACCUCCCAAUAUAUUUGGUUCAGAAUAACAAUCUGAAUCUAUAUGAUUGAUUCCUAUUUAAAAAGAAAUUGAUUAUAAAAAUAAUUAAAAUAACAUUAAAAUUAAAAUACAAAAUAUAAAAAUAAUUUAAUAUUGAGUUUGCACCUCGAAAUAUAAAAUUAAAUUUAUAAUUUAAAUUCAAACUAAAAGUUAAAUAUUAAAAAUUUACAUCAAAUGUAAUUUUUAAAAAAUUUAAAAUUUAAAAUUGAGUGGACAAUUUAAAAUAUCAAACUAAUUUUUAUUUGAGUCAGAUUAAACUUACAAUUAAAUUUAAAGUUAAAUUUAUAGAUCAAAUUCAAAAUGCUUGAUUGAGUUUAUAUUUUAAUUUAAUUUCUAAAUGAAAAUCUAGAAUUAAAAUUUAAAUUUUAAAUUUUAAAUUUAUGCUUUAAUUAAAAAUUAAACUCAAAAAAUUAAAUUAAAUUUUAAAUAAAAAAUAUAAAAUAUAAUCACGAUAUUUUUGUAAAGUAUAUUCUUUCCGUUUGAAUUUAACUUCCAAUCCGACCUAGGAGGUCCGAUUGGAAUAAGAGAUUUUCAUUCACUCAGGAAUCAAAAUCGAAAUAGGACUCUCGCAUAUCAAACACUCACAAACAGAAUUAUUCAUUCCGAUUUCGAUUCCUGAAUAAAGAAAGGCCGAACCAAACAUGUCCUAAAAGCAGAGUUUGAUUAAAAAUGAAUAAUUUUGAAAAAGCAAAUAAAAGCAUAGUUUAAUAAAAAAAUACGAGAAAACAAAAUAUUUCCAAAAUUUUAAUCUUUUAAAUUUAAAAAGGCUACUUACAAACAAUAGCUCCAUUUUUUAACAGUAGUUCCAGGCUACUCCGCGACAACAGUUUCACGGUACUUACAACACAUUCGUGUCUCUCUCUCUCUCUCUCUCUCUCUCUCUCUCUCUCUCUCUCUCUCCUUUUUCUUUUUUCCUAGGAAACUUACUACACUUUCUUUGAGAAGGAAGAAAAGUCAUCCAAUUGAAAAUUGAAACUUACUGGAAUCUGCAUCCAGCGACGUAGGUCCCUAAUGGUCACUUGUACUACAAUCUCUCAUAAGUUUCAACAAAAUUCUUGAGAUAUUCAUAGACCGAAUCUUACAUAGAUAGUUAAUAUACUAUAUUCAUAUUCUAUAGGAAAAAAAAAAAAAUCGUAUCCUACUCAAUUUUAAUUUCGAAACUGAUUCAUAUUCGAGUACUUAUAUUACUAAUGUACCUGAUGGGUCCAUCUAAGUAAGUUUGAGUAGUGACUACUAUUAUACUAUCCAAUUAAAAAUCGGAUAACCGACCGUCCCUAACGUAAGUGGCAAAGGGUUUGAUGGUUGGUACCCGAAGUCUUAAGUUCGAAUCUGCUGUGAGUCGAAUUUUCUGGUUUUUGACCUGGUCAAAGAUCUCCCUUGGAAAGAGCGUAGGAAUGUGAAACCGCCAUGAGUAGUGACCCUCGAAGUUUGCGCUCUUCGACUGGAUCAAGCGAUUCGGCUGAUGAGAGAUCGGAUUAGCCGAAUUCGAAAAUAUUUACUGUAAACUCGAUUCGGCUGAAAGAGCCGAAUGUACAGAAUGCAUAGUAUUUUGGGUCGGCUGAAGAGCUGAAUGCCUUUAUAUAUUAAACCGAAGUCGAAAACUAGUUUUCAUUUCCUUUUUCGGCUGAUGAGGGAUCGGAUCAGCCGAAUUCGAAAAUCUUUGCUGUAAACUCGAUUCGGCUGAAAGAGCCGAAUGUACGGAAUGCACAGUAUUUUGGAUCGGCUGAAGAGCUGAAUGCCUUUAUUUAUUAAACCGAAGUCAAAAACUGGUCUUCACUUCUCAACCGAUUCUUAUAUCGGUUCCACUGCAGCCGAUGGUCUUCAUUUCCUUUCCUGAAUUGCUCAUAUUGAGAAACUCGGACUCCCAGAUUGAAUAAAUUCAGAAAAUACUUAUCUUCAAAAUGGUCCUUUAUCUUGAAAUGUAAUCGAUUAAAUGCCAUUUUGGCAAAUUCAGAUUCUGACAUUCUUACAAAACAACGGCUUCUUGCCGUCUUGAAUCAGUUCAAAUAUUUUUCAACCGAUUCUCCUGUUCUUUGUCUGAACUGAGCUAGAUCAGCAACCGAAAGUUCCAGCUCUGAUCUGUAAAACUGUUCAUGAAAUUUUCUUUCCAAUUCGCCCCAAUUUCGGACAAAAUAGGUUGGUAGACUCGUAUACCAAGUGAAUGUAGUCUUGGUUAACGAGGUAUUAAACAACCUAAGCUUCAGGAAAGGAUUUGCAGCGGCUUCUCGGCAUUGUGCUGUAAACCACGCGACGUGCUCAACCGUAUUUUCGGUUUCGUCGCCUGAAAAUUUAUUGAAUUUCGGCAUUUUUCAAUUUACUGGAUAUGGAUGUUCUACAUCUAUAUUUGCAGGAUAAGGGGAUCUGAAUACAGGCCGCAUUGCCGGCCUUGCCCCUACUCCAAAAGUAUUUCUAAUAGCUUUCUCAAUCUGAGCAUAAAUUUUAUUAUUAUUCCCUUGUACGGGAACAAGUACCUGUACUUGACCUGGAUUCGGUCCUUGUGGUAAUCUGAAAUUUUGUGCCGUAGGAUUUAACCCCUACAUAUUCAGGGCUUGCCCCCCGGCCCUAGCCCCUACAUUUUGAGGCUGAUAUGUUGCCAGUGGCGGCGGAGGAGGUAACCCGCAGUCUAUUUCCGGCAUGUUGACUGGCAUUUAUAGCAACCGGUCUAUAAGCUGCUUGAAAAGGUGCCCCCUGCUGUUCGGGCUGACCGCUCACCGGUGUUACAGGAUUUUGUAAAAUCGGCGUAACUACAAGUCCUUGUAGACCUGUUACAGGCUGCUCGUUUCAAGUCAGUAAUUGCCCUAUUCGGACAAUAUUCUUAUUAGAGACCGUGAUUGCGGCCAAUACUGCAUCUAAACGAGCAGUACUCCUGUGACUAUUUUGAUCCAAUACUUGUAGGACCCGUGUCAUUUGCCCAAGCGCUUGAGCUAGACUUGGCUCUUAUUGGUCAGAUUGACCACUAGUCUCACCUUCAACCGGUAAGACGGCUUGCUGUUCACCUACAUUAUCAGAAUUGCUGGCUUGAUCGUUUUCGGAAUUUCAAGGAAUGACCCUAUUGCGCAAGUUCAUGACAUUAUCAUCAGCCAUUAGUUCUUGUAAGAGAAGAAAUUUACCUACAAUACGUGUCCCACCGGGCGUGUCAAAAAUUAUUGUGAGCCGAAUUUCCUGGUCCUUGACCUGGUCAAAGAUCUCCAUUGGAAAGAGCGUAGGGAUGUGAAAUGGCCAUGAGUAGUGACCCUCGAAGUUUGCGCCCUUCGAUUGGAUCAAGCGAUUCGGCUGAUGAGGGAUCAGAUCAGCGGAGUUCGAAAACCUUUGCUGUAGACUCGGUUCGGCUGAAAGAGCCGAAUGUACGGAAUGCACAGUAUUUUGGGUCGGCUGAAGAGCCGAAUGCCUUUAUAUAUUAAACCGAAGUCGAAAACUGGUACAAAAGAGUGUGCCCGUGGGGCAUACAGACUGCAGAGAUCUAACUUAAAAAUUACUUCUAGAAAAGACGGUAAAUGCGAAAAAAGAGAAGAUUAUAUGUAGACUACUCCUAAAAGAACGAUAAAUGCAGAAAGUAAAAAUAUUGAAAAUGUGGUGGUCAUCUCUUUCAUGGGAGAGAAAGAUCCCUAUUACAAGCUUCGAAGUUACUAUUUAUAGUGAUGUCUUCUCAGCCCACAUUAUUGGUCGGUUUUGAGUAGUGGGGGAGUGGUGUGUAACCAUGAUCGUAGAAAUUACGCCCCAUUUCUCAACCGUUCCCGCCUAAUUUUUGGCAUCAACAGAAUCCUGGUUGAUUCACAUUUCUAGCUAAGUUUAUUUCUAAAUGAAAUAAAUGAAGCAGGUAGCAUACUACCUAUCUCUCAAAAAGAAAUAAAAUAAAAUAAAAAUCGGAUAUAGGUUGGGUCUAUUGGGUGUGGGUACCCAUAUAUAUGUGUGUCAACCGUAUAAACCAUAAAUAUUUAUUACAUGAUAAAUUCAAUAUAAAAAUACAAAAAUUGCAAUCGUUACACACGCGCGCGCGCGCGCGCGCACACACACACACACACACACACACAUAUAUAUAUAUAUAUAUAUAUAUAUAUAUAUAUAUAUAUAUAUAUAUAUAUAUAGAGAGAGAGAGAGAGAGAGAGAGAGAGAGAAGGAGAGUAGGGCUACUGUGCUAUUAGGAGCACAUCAACCCUUAUGCUUCUAACUUUUAAUCACCCAUUAAGGUUGAUGGGUGGUUAGAAUGAGAAGGCAGGGAGGAGAUUUGAGGAGAAUUGGAUGUUUCAAUUUCUCAUCUACUUGAUUUCUCUUAAAUAUCUCCUCCCUCUCUCAUUCUAACCACCCUCAAAUUUGAUGGUGUUAGGAAUGUUAGAGAGCACAAGGGCUGCUGUGCUCCUAAUAGCACAGUAGCCCUACUCUCUCCUCUCUCUUCUCUCUCGUCUCUCUCUCUCUCUUCUCUCUUCUUAUAUAUACCUAUAUAUAUAAUAUAUAUAUAUAUAUAUAGAGUAGGGCUAAAAUACUUUUACAAGUAUCACCCAAGUGAUACUUAUGUGUUUUUAACCCUUGGAUCUACUUUGAUUACUAAUAGUCCUUGGAUCAAACACUAUUCCACCUACCACCACCUACACCACCUGUACACCAUCAUCAACUCAACAUCUCUCCAUCCAAGGGCUAAAAACAAUAAGUAUCACUUGGGUGAUACUUUUACAAGUAUCUAGCUCAACUAUAUAUAUAAUAUAUAUAUAUAUAUAUAUAUAUAUUAUAUAUAUAUAUAGAUAUAUAAAUAUAUUAUAUGCGAACACACCACAACCAAAUAUUAUUUAUAUAUUAUAUAUAUUAUAUUAUAUGUAUCUAUUAUAUAUAUUUAGUAGAGAGGGAGAGAGAGAGAGAUGAGGGAGUUAGGGUACUGUUGCGAUUAGGAGCACAUCACUUAUGCUUUGUAACUUUUUAGAUACAUUAAGUUUGAUGGGUGGUUGAAUGAGAGAGGGAUGAGAUAUUGAGGAGAAAUGGGAUGUUUCAUUUUUAUCUACUGGAUUUUUUAUAUCUCUCCUUCUCUCAUUCUAACCCCUCAAAUUUGAUGAGCGUGGUUAGAAUUUAGAGAGCACGGGUGCGUGUGCUACUAAUGCACAGUAGCCUACUCUCUUUCUAUCUCUCUCUUCUUCUCUCUCUCUUGCUAUCUCUCUAUUUUAUAUAUUAUAUAUAUUAUAUUAUAUAUGAGUAGGGUAAAUACUUUACAGUGCUACAGUGAUGUACUUUAUGUGUUUUUACACUUGGAUUAUUUUUGUUCUAUAGUCUUGGGAUCAACACUUUCCACGUACCACACUACCACCUACCACUUAUUCAACGAAUAUCUCAUCAGGGCUAAAACAUAGAUAUCUUGGGUGGAUACUUUUACAGUAUUCUGAUCACUUAUAUUUAUAUUAUAUAUAUUAUUAUUAUAUAUUAUAUAUUCUUAUAUUAUUAUUUAUUAUUCUAAGACUACAAUACAUUCACAUAAACAUUAUAAUUAAAAACGACGUUCUACGAGCAGAGUGGGAAGGCUGGUGUUGAUACCAGACAGGUUGAUCUGUUGAUUACAUUUCAGCUAAGGUUUUUCUAAUAAAAUACGAAGGGAUAGCGUGCUCAUCUUCAAAAAAAAAAAACAAUUAAUAUUAAAUUAUUAUUGUGAGUCCAAAUCAUCUAAAUAUAGUGUUAAAUACCAGACUAAUCAAUUUAUAUUAUAUUCAUGUCCACACAUGCAUUUAAUAGUAUAAUUAAAACAUUAUCAUAAGGGUAUAGAGAUCGUUUGGCCGAGUAAGCAAGUGGUUAUUCUAGCGAUUGUAUAUUGAGGGGUUAUAAGGGGGUUAGAUCCAAUUUUGUAUUUAGAAUGAAAUUGGAUUAUUUUGGAAAGAAAAAUAGCGUAUGUUGAUUAGGUAAGUAGAUAAGACGAUAGUGAAUUUUUAAUAAAAAUAAUAAUAUUACCUCUUAUUAUUAUUUGAAUUUGGAAUUUUUAAAUUUUAAAUUUAUAUUUUAAAUUAAAAUUUUAAUCUUUGAAAUUUCAAUUUGAAUUAAAAUUUAAAUUUAAAUCUCAAUUUUAAAUUUUAGAAUUUAAUUUUUAAUUCACUUUAAAUUUAAGUUAGGUAAAUUUAAAAAUAUAAAUAUAAAUUGUUAAUUUAAAAAUUAAAUGAUCAAAUUUAAAUUUGAAAUUAAAAUUAGAUUUUAUUAAAAUUUUAUUUGAGAUUAAAUUAUAAAUUUUAAAAUUAAGUUUUAAAAUUUUAAAUUUUAAAAUUUCUAAAAUAGAUUAAGGUGGGAACAAUUAAUAAAAAUAAUUUAUUAUAAUAAAUUUAUAAAUUUUUUUUAUAAUUCUACAUAAAUUUAAAUUUAGUAAAAAAAAUUUAUUAUACUAUUUAAAUAAAAUUUAUUAUAAUAUUUAAAUAUAAAUAAUAUUUAUUAAUAUAGUACAAUUAAUAAUUUAUAAUAAAAAUAAUGUAUUAUAAUAUGAGUUGGACUGGGCUACUAUUAGUAGCAAAAUCCCAUUGUUGCUUCCAGUUUUUUAGCCUUUGGAUCAACUCUUUUCAUUAUUUCUAACAAUUGGAUUAAAUAGUAUAACCCAAUAGAGACCACUCAACCCCAGGGGGACCACUCAACUCUAACCGACUAAUAUCAUCCUGACCCUAUAAUUUUUCAUUCAAGGGUUAAAAACUUGAUAGCAAAAAGAGCAUUUUACUAUUAAUAGUAUUCCAGCCUAAUUCAUUAUAAUAUAUAUAUAAUGUAGUAUACCAUAUGGGAUUGAGUUGGUAAAAGGGUCUUUUGGUCUUUUUCCUAUCCUUAUCUUUUCCACCGCUUUAUAUAGCUUUGAGAGGCAGAGAGAGGGAGAAUUUUUAUUUGCUAUUUCCUCUCUCUCAAGAUUGAAGUGGAGAGCAUGGUGGAGGCCAUGGUUGGAGCUUGGAGCGACGUCGACUUCGUGCCGGCGAGCCGUUGGAGCGUGCGUGCGUCGUGGUAGUGCCGUUGGAGGCCGAGCGAGCGCGGAAUUUCUUCUCCUAUCGACUUCUCGCUGUCAUGGAUUAGCUUUUGAGGUGGGUUAAUGUUUACCGAAAUCAUUGGAUUAUCUACUAAGUUUUAGUAUCGUCGACAUGUAUCGUUGGUUUAUUUUCUUGCUAGUACUCGAAUUCAUGGAUUAGGCUUAAAAUCUGAAUUUGGAGUUUAGCUAGUAGUAUAAUUUUACAUGUUGGACCUGAAAUUGACUUAGGAGAAAACUGUAGAUUCUACACCGUCAUUUUCUGAAAACUAUAAGAUUUAGCUUUAGGAGCUGUAGCUUGUUAGUAUCGCCGCAAUUGUAGGCGGUGGAUAUCCAGAAUAGUAUAGAAUAAAUUUACGCUCGUGCUGGGAUGCCGAGUGUAUUUUUACAGUAGUGUAUAGACUAUUCCGAACUGUCGGGUGUCGUUGCAGUUGACGGUGGACCCAGAUUGCUGUUUUUGCAUCAGAUUGUGCCGAGGGCAUAUUGAUUAUAGUUGUUAGACCAGUUAGACUCUUCUGUUUUGAUUACAGCCCGUGAGAGCCUGAUUGAGCUCGGCAGAGAUACGAUUGCAUACUCGGUUGGGUAGCACCCACGAGUGCCACUCCGGAGUCGGGCUUUGUGCGUUGCGUUGGUAUCGUUGUGUCCUGGUUGGACUCGCUCUCCACUGACUACCCAGCGUGGUGGUUGUUAGUGUAGCUUCGAUAGGUGGGACGGGUGUGUUCACAGUCCCUAGCUACUGGUAAUUUUGAAGAGAAACAGGGGGCCGCCUUCUAGACUUUCGCUUGAUUGGGUCGAGAGUUGAUUGUGUUUUGUAUCCGACCCUUGUUUUGCUUGUAGGUAGCUAUAUAUCGACGCCGAUAUCGACCGCCGAUGCGGGAUCGGGCUGCACCAUCAGAGAUGCCUGAGCCGGCAGAGCCGAGUGCACGGCCAGAGUCGAGCGCACCCCCAGAUCUGAGAGAGCACUUAGCUGCCCUGACUGAGGUGACGAGGCAGCAGGGGGCUUGUUGCAGAGGAUGUGUGAGACCUUAGCUCCGCCGUCCAGUGCAGUACCUAGAGCACCAGCGUGGUCAGUUCCACCGCCUAGUACUCCUGAGGCCGCACCAGCCGCAGCGGUACCCCCACCAGCGACAGUUCCUACGUCGCCACUUACACUCCCUAGAGAGGUGUCGCAGAUGUCAGAGGCUGAGUAGGAGCGGAUGACUGAGAGGCUGGCUCGUUUCCGCCGUCUUGAUCUGCCGACCUUUGAUGGCAGCUCCAUGGAGCCAUGGUUUGUAGACGGCUGGGGGAGCGUGAUGGAGAAACUAUUUGAGGACCUAUUUAUACCAGAGAGGGAGCAGGUACCCUUGGGAGUACACUACUUGGCUUGCGAUGCGCAUUCUUGGUGGAGGAGGAUGAGGCGAGACCGAGGGCUGGUAGCAAUGCAGAUAAAGUGGGAUGAGUUCUGCGGAAUGCUGUACGAGGUGUAUUUCCCAAACAGUGUGAAGCAGAAGCUCGAAGAGGAUCUCAAGAAGCUUCAGCAGGGGAAGCGAUCAGUUCAGAAGUAUACCCGUGAGUUUACUCGGCUUCUGAACUGUGUGCCCUUUGUAGCUAGGGAUGAGGCCCACCGAGUAUAUCUGUUUGAGAGAGGCUCGAGACCCGAGAUUUUUCGGUUGGUACAGGCGCAGAGGUUGAGGACAUUGGAUGCAUCUAUUGAGCAGGCUUUAUGGGUGGAGAGAGGUGAUGUGUCGAUUCGUGAGCGAGCUCAGGUGCCAGUGCAGAGUCAGGAUAGGAAGCCCCCGGUUCCAGAUGACGGAGGACAGUCAAGCAGCAAGCGUCUGUCGAGGCCUCCACGAUUACGCUCUCAGGGUCAUGAGUCUUCGGGGCGUCAGCGUUCUAGAAAAUCUCAUUAGCAGGGACACUCGCAGGGGACGCCACAGUGUGUGAUUUAUGGGGGACCACACUGGCCCCGACAGUGUGAGCAGAGAGAGGGCCGAUGCUACUGAUGUGGACAGUCUGGACAUAUGAGGGCAGCGUGUCUCCGAGCAGCAUCACCAGCACUAUCGACGGUGUCAGCAUCGCCGGCGCCUCAGCAGUCUUAUGGAGCAGCAUCGAGUCACCGCGAGGAGGACGAGCGUCUAUGCUGCGACAGGGUGAGCGGCGACAGCAAGCCCCGAGUGGCAGGAUGUAUGCAGCACAGAUGGAGGACUCUACAGUAGCCGACCGGGUGGUGACAGGUAUCAUUUUGAUUUCUGGUGUUAAAGCUCGUACCCUUCUUGAUACCAGUGCAUCACAUUCUUUUGUUAGCCGAGCAUUUGCAUUACUGCAUGGUCUAGAGGUAGGGUCGUUGUUGUAUGCACGAGAGGUGCAGAUUUUCGACCAUGUUUUGUAGGUAGCAGAGUAUUGUUGGUCAUGUCCGAUGCAGUUAGACUCUUGGAUUAUGCCCGCAGACUUGUUGGUCUUAGGGCAGCUGCAGGACUUUGAUGUUGUGUUUGGCAUAGAUUGGCUGACGCGGUACUAUGCUACGAUAGACUGUGGAGCGAGGACGGUGGCGUUCCGCGAGCCAGGCCAGAAGGAGUUCACGUAUAUAGGCUGCAGGAGUACGUUGUUUGCCGCUUGGAUAUCGUCGGCGAGGGCUCGACAGCUAAUGAGUAGAGGAUGUAUCGCUUUUUUGGUGACGGUUGUGGAGGUGCCUAUGGCGACGCCGGGACUCGACCCUAUAGUCUGCGAGUUUUCUAAUGUUUUUUCCCCGGAGUUGACGAUGAUGCUGCCGGAUAGAGAGAUCGAGUUUGUGAUUGAUGUAGUUCCUGGAACUGCACCAAUUUCGAAGGCACCCUACUGGAUGGCACCGGCAGAGCUGAGAGAGCUAAAGGCGCAGCUUCAGGAUCUGAUGGAUAAGGGGUAUGUGAGACCCAGUGUAUCGCCUUAGGGAGUGCCCGUGUUAUUUGUGAAGAAGAAGGAUGGUCCACUUAGGCUGUGUGUGGAUUAUUGGGAGCUAAAUAAAGUGACCAUUAAGAACAAGUAUCCUUUACCAUGCAUCGACGAUCUGUUCGAUCAGCUGCAAGGAUUUUGUGUCUUUUCGAAGAUUGACCUCCAGUCAGGUUACCACCAGUUGAGGGUGAGGGCCGAGGAUGUUCCCAAGACAUCUUUUGGGACUCGGUACGGGCAUUAUGAGUUCACUGUUAUGCCUUUUGGAUUGACGAAUGCCCCUGCCGCAUUUAUGGACCUGAUGAGUAGAGUGUUCAAGCCGUACUUGGAUAGAUUUAUGGUUGUGUCUAUUGAUGAUAUUUUGGUAUACUCCCGGAAUGAUGCUGAGCAUGAGGAGCAUUUGAGGAUUAUGCUACAAUUUCUGAUGGAGAAGAAGUUGUAUGCUAAGCUGAAGAAGUGCGAGUUUUGGCUUCAGGAGGUCUCUUUCUUGGGCCAUGUGAUUUCUGCAGUUGGAGUAGCAGUUGACCCGAAGAAGAUUGGUGCUAUUUGGGAUUGGCCCAGACCGACGACGGUGAUUGAGGUGAAGUGUUUUCUUGGACUAGCUUGAUAUUACCGUCGGUUUGUGGAAGACUUUACGAAGCUUUCCGCACCCCUCACUCGAUUGACUCGAAAGAAAAUUAAGUUUCUUUGGAGUGAGAAUUGUCAGAGGAGCUUUGAUGAGUUGAGACAGACGUUGAUGUCGGCUUCUAUCCUUGCCCUCCCAGUUAUGGGGGAAGGAUUUGUGAUUUACAGUGAUACAUCGCAUAGUGGAUUAGAUUGUGUGCUGAUGCAGUAUGGUAGGGUAAUUGCUUAUGCUUCACGGCAAUUGAAGGAUUACGAGAAAAAUUAUCCUACGCAUGAUUUGGAGCUAGUUGCUGUGGUCUUUGCUUUGAAGUUGUGGCGGCACUAUUUGUAUGGCGAGCACUGUGAGGUUUUCACUGAUCAUAAAAGUCUCAAGUAUCUAUUCACCCAGAAGGAGUUGAACCUGAAGCAGCGCCGGUGGUUGGAGUUGUUGAAGGACUAUGACGUUAGUAUCAGUAUCACCUUGGCAAGGCGAAUGUGGUGGCAGAUGCGUUGAGCAGGGAGGCAGUGCAGAGCUUGAGCAUGUUGAUUACUCAGCAAAGGCCGUUACUUGAAGAGCUGCCGCGGUUGAGACUGGAGGUAGUGUCCCUUGGGUCUACUGCAAGACUGAUGUCUUUGGUCUUGCAGCCCACCCUGUUGGGCAGGAUCAGGGAGAAACAGAUUGGAGACUCUCAUUUGUUGAGGAUUCGAGAGCAGCUAGAGAGGGGACAGGCAGAGGCUUUUUCUAUGGACAGUUCGGGAGUACUGCAGUAUAGGGACCGACUAUGUGUGCCUAUGGAUUCAGAGAUUCGAGAGGAGAUAUUAAGAGAUGCUCACUAUUCACCUUAUGCGGUUCAUCCUGGUGGAACAAAGAUGUAUAAGAACUUGGAAGCACACUUCUGGUGGAAUGAAAUGAAGAGAGACAUUGGCAGAUUUGUAGCUCAGUGUUUGACUUGCCAACAGAUAAAGGUAGAGCAUCAGAUACCUGCUGGCAAGUUUCAAAGUCUGUCAGUGCCCGAGUGGAAAUGGGAGCAGAUCACGAUGGACUUUGCCGUGGGUUUAUCGAGAGCACAUAGUGGUUUCGAUGCUAUUUAGGUAAUAGUGGACAGACUGACCAAGUCUGCUCACUUCCUACCAGUACAGACCACUUGGUCCAGGGAGAGACUAAUUAAGUUAUAUCUGGAUGAGGUUGUGAGAUUGCAUGGUGUGCCAAUCUCAAUAGUAUUAGAUCGAGACCCGAGGUUCGUUUCGCACUUUUGGAGGAGUCUUCAGACAGCCUUAGGUACACAGUUGCAUUUCAGCACGGCGUUUCACCCACAGAUAGAUGGUCAGUCUGAGCGGACCAUUCAGACUCUGGAGGACAUGCUAAGGGCAUGUGUCCUGAACUUUGGAGGAGGGUGGCAUUGAUAUUUGAGACUGGCUGAGUUUGCGUACAACAACAGCUAUCAAACGAGCAUUCAGAUGGCUCCGUUUGAGGCGUUGUAUGGACGUAGGUGUCGAUGCCCUUUACAUUGGAGUGAUGUGGGUGAAAGAAAAACUUUGGGGCCUGAGAUUCUGAUAGCGGUUGAGGAAAAGGUUAAAGCUGUACGACGUCACCUUUUGACAGCUCAGAGUGGACAGAGGAGCUACGCCGAUACCAGGAGACGAGACUUAGAGUUCCAGGCUGGAGAUCAUGUGUUUCUGAAAGUCUCGCCGUCCAGAGGUAUACGCAGAUUCGGAGUGCGUGGAAAGCUCAGUCCACGCUUUGUAGGCCCUUUUGAGGUAUUCGAGCGAGUUGGACCAGUAGCCUACAGGAUUGCUUUACCCCCAUGACUGGCCGGUAUUCAUGAUGUUUUCCACUUCUCGGCAUUGAGGAGAUAUGUGUUCAACCUUUCACACGUGAUUGAGUUCACUCCACUGGAGCUUGGUGAGGACUUGAGAUAUGAGGAGCGACCGGUGCGGAUUCUUGCUCAUGAGAUGAAAGAAUUGCGCAACCGGAUUAUACCUUAUGUAAAAGUGCAGUGGAGUCAUCGCAAGGAGCGUGAGAUGACGUGGGAGCCAGAGACGGUGAUGCGGGAGUCCUAUCCUUACUUGUUUGAUACUCAGGAUUGAGGUAUGUGUUAAGUUUCGAGGAUGAAACUUUUUGUAGUCAGGGAGAAUGUAGUAUACCAGAUGGGAUUGAGUUGGUAAAAGGGCCUUUUGGUCUUUUUUCCAUCCUUAUCUUUUCCAUCGCUUUAUAUAGCUUUGAGAGGCAGAGAGGGAGAAUAUUUAUUUGUUAUUUCCUCUCUCUCUAGAUUGAAGUGGAGAGCACGGUGGAGGCUACGGUUGGAGCUUAGGGCGACGUCGACUUCGCGCCGGUGAGCCGUUGGAGCGUGCAUGCGUCGUGGUACUGGGUGAGCCGUUGAGGUCGGUAGCGGUACCCACUGAGGACUACUUCUUUUUGCAGUAGUUCUCACAUCCGGUUGUUGAACCCUUUUUGCAGAGCCUUCUUCUUCGGCUGCUGCUGUUGCGGAUACUGAUCGUGGAAAGGGAGUCGCAAGUUAGAUCCCUUCCCGUUUUGCUGCUGAUCUAGAGAUAUACCCGCAACAGGUAGUGUUGGUUUUUGGUUCUUGUACAUACUGAUGUUAGAUCCUCGCUGGAGCGAGUGUUUAUGUAUCUGGAGACUAUGUAUGUAUAGAGAAUCUGAUGUUAUUUAUAUAUGUUUUUCACUUUAGCAGCUCUAUACUACUAGUUGUAGUUUUGUAUGAUUACAUGUAUAGGUACAGCUAUCGCUUUGUAUACAGGAAAAAUUUUCUUGUAUACGUCGGAUUUGUCGGCGUGCCCGGAGAAACGAGUAAUCCAGGGCGUGACAUAUAACAUAUUAUAUUUAUAUAAUUUAGUUUUAAUGCAAUUUAUAAUUUUAAUUAAGUUUGAAAUUAAGUAUUGGAAUAGCAAUAUUCCACCAAAAUUGUGGAAUAGCAAAUCCCUUGCUAUUCCGGGAUAAUCGGGAAUAGUAAGGUUUGAUCGGGAUAAAAUAUCCCGGCAACAAAUCUCCCUGUUUGGCUGAAUAGCGGGGAUAACUUUUGUUAUUCUUGCUUAUCCCCGGAACCAAACGGGGUCAUAGAGAGCAAGUCUAAAACAUUAUAGUGAAGAGAUAAGUGUCAAGUUUUUUUUUUUUUUUCCCCUCUUAUCUUUAACUUUUGAUGGUUGGAUAUUUACUAGGUCUAGGUGUAAUUCGGAUAUGAAAAUGAUUCCGGACCUUACCCACCAAAUUAAGGAUUGGGUUUGGGUCGGGUCCAAGUAGGUAUGGGUACGAUAUAUUCGGACUCAUACCCAACACUUUAAUGGAUAUAUUUUUUUUUUACCCAUAUACCGCCCACUUUUAAUCAGUUGGAUCAAAUCUGACUCGGGUUUGGAUAGGGACUAGUGCCGAUACGUGAUAUUCGGUAUUUUGAACGUCUCUAAAAAAUACUAGUCGGAUGCUCCCUCCUAGAGUAAAAUUUUGAAGUUAUAAUUUUAUAAUUGUUGAUUCAGUCCCAAGAAAAUUAGUUGGGAGCUCCUUGGGAGGAGAGAUGUUAAUGGAUCCAGAUUGGUAGCGAUUUUGCCCUAAUCCAUCCUAAAUGGGAAGUAAGUUGCGAUUUUUGGCCUUUUUAAUGUUUUAAAGGACAUUGUUGACAACUCAUUGAGUUUUGGGCCUAGUCCCCAAAAGAGAGAGAGGGAGAAAGAGAGAGAGAGAGCAAGGUCUGUAAAUGAUUUUAGGCCUAUUUAUCUUGUUAAUAGAAUAGAAAAGAUCUUAUCCAAAGAACUCGCCAACAGAUUUGAAGGUGUUAUGAAAGAGGUCAUCUCCCCCUCUCAAGUAGCUUUUGUACAAGGUCGGUUAAUCUCGGACUCCUUCGCAACUACUAGCAAGCUUGUUAGCUAGUGCUCAAAAGUAGGACAGGAAAGUUGUCCAAAUUAAAGGUGAUUUUGAAAAAGCAUAUAAUAGAGUGUCUUGGCAUUAUCUAUGAAAGAUCAUAAGGUGGCUUGGGGUGAACCACAAGUGGUGUGGUUGGAUUGAAUAAUGUAUUUUCAAUGCCAAAAUCACAACCCUCUUUAAUGGUAUUUUCUCAAAAUAGAUCAAAGUUAAAAGGGGUUUACGCCAGGGUGAUCCUCUGUCUCCUUAUCUCUUUCUGUUGAUAGUGGAAAUUAACAAUAAUCCAAUAUACCGACAACACAAUCUUUUUUUGCGAGGCUAAGAAAAGGCAAGUGAAAAACUUUCUAGUCGUGUGGCAACUAUUUAAGUGGGCAUUAGGUUUGAAUAUAAAUAAUUAGAGAAGGGCAUUAAGGUGAGAGGUUAGUUGAGAGCAUAGGAUGCAAAUUUGGAAUUUUCCUAAUCAGCUAUCUUGAACUACUCCUCAUAAACGGAUGACUUUGAAUGGAUGACUGAUGGACUAUUAUAAGUAAAAUUGAAAAGUAGAUUGAAAGGUGGUAAGCAAAACUCCUUUCACAAGGAGGCAGACUCAUUCUUGUGAAUUCUGUUAUCUCGAAUUUAAUUUAUAUGUUUUUUUCCAAUGUUUAGAACUCCCAAAUGGAUUUUAUGACCUAUUGAAGCCCUUCAUAGAGCUUUUUUCUGGAAGGGAGGAUCUUAUAGUAGCAAGGGACAUUGCUUCAUGUGCUGGAAGUCGGUUUGUAGGAGCAGAAAGGAAGGAGAGCUAGAAAUUUCUAGAGAACAUGAAUUUAGUCUUUUUGGCAAAAUGGUGGUGGAGGUUCUUCUCGGACCAUCAGUGACGCCCCUAAAUGAAAGCCUAUAUUACUUUCAGAGGAGACCACGUAGAGUUUCUUUCAGACCCUACUCAUAGUGGUGACGGAAUAUUUUGGUGACUAGAUAUAUAUUUAAGAAUAGAGUUACUUACAUGAUUGGUGAUGGAAGUAGAGUGUGCUUUUUGUUGAACAUUUAGUAUGGGUGCUCCUCUCUAAUGUACUCCUAAACCUAUGCAUCUUUAAUGAAGUGGUCAGCAAAAAUUGAGAGACUGUUUCGGAGUUAACAGGUGGAAGUAGUAUAAGAUUUUGUUAGGCUUUGUUCCAAGCUCGCAGGAUAAUAAAGAUUUGAUCCUGAGCUAAAAGAAUUGAUAUCUUAAAUCUCGUAGUUCAAUAGAACAAGUGAAGUUAGAUAGAGAUGGGUAUGGUUCGAAAAGUUCUUGGUCAAAUCACUUUAUUAGUUCCUACAAGGUGGUGGUGUUCAAGUCAGGAGUUUUGUAGCGCCAUAGAAGAUCCAUGCACCUCUACAAGUUAAAACUUUUAUUUGGCUAGUUUUGAAACAAAAGGUGCUAACAGUAGAUAACCUAUAGAAAGGGAUUGAUAUGAGGAGGAAUGCUGUGUUCUCUGCAUGGGAGAGCUAGAGAUGGUUGACCACCUUUUUGCAAUCUGCAAAAUUACUAAACUUCUAUUGGCAGGUCUUUUGUCUAAUAAGACGUUCAUACAAGUUAGCAAUUCAGUUGACGAGCUUUGGAAAGUUAGCCGAAUCAAAAGGUGUUGCUUUAGAGACAAGAAAGCUAUCGACAAUCGCCGCUACCUGGUGGGUUUGUUGGUUAGAGCAGAAUAGAAGAAUUUUUAAAGAAUAAAGCUCACCACAAGAUAAAUAUUGGUAGAGAUUUGUUCCUGCAGGAAAUUGUGGGAUACGUUCGGAUCACAAGGGAUGUAUAGAAGAACUUUUUUUUUUCUUUUUUUUGAGGCUUGGUUACCUCACCAUGUAGUCUGGUUCUGGUUCAUAUUUUAAAUGAAUGAAGUUAUAGUAUUGUAGUGUCCCUGGGGUUUAGCUGUCUGAGUGACUGUAGCAUCUGUGGCUUGUCGACACGUCUGGAGAGUGUCGGGACGAGUCAGAGUCAUUUUUGCGCGAAAUUGACGCGGAAACGGACUCGGCGUAGUGCAAGUUGGAGUUCUGACCCUGAAAUCUGCAGAGUGCAGGAUUUCAGUGUUGAGUACCGAUACCUAGGUUGGGUGCCGAAACCCCAGAGGGAUUACACAAAAAGGGAGCUCUCGGGUUUGCGCAUUUCAGUGCUGAGUACCGGAACCUGUUGUUGAGUAUCGGUACUGGGACUGAGUACCGGUACUGCAUCGAGCGAGUACCGGAAUCCAGUGCGCGAACUAUACUAGCUGGCGUGCCGAGUGCCGGUAUCACCGUUGUUAGUGCGUAGUGGAUACUCAGAUUAGUGUAGCUUGAGGUUAAGCUCGUCUUGAGGGGUCGAGCUUGUUUUUACAGUAGGGUUUGGACUGUUUUGUACUGUCGGGAGCUGUAGCUGGUUGACGGUGGACUCAGAUGUUUACAUCUUGUUUCAGAUUGUGCCGAGAGCACGCGAGUUUUGGUUGUUAGACCAGUUUGACCCAUUUGUAUUGACUAUAGCCUAUGUGAGCCUGAUUGAGCUCGAUAGAGACACGCUUGCAUACUUGGUUGGGUCGCUCCCACGAGUGUAGCUUCGGAGUGAGGCUUUACUUGCGUUGGUGUCGCAGCAGUUCCGUUUGGGCAGUUCUUGGAUCGGCCACCCCUAUGGGUGAUGUGCGGUGUAGCUCGAGUACAGGCUGGACGGGCCAGUUGGCAGUCCCUUGAGAUUGGGUCAGUGUGUAGCUAGUGAUGCAUUUCUGUGUCUACAGUGAGCCUGGUUGGAAUGGCUGUAGUAUAGUGGCAUAUAGCUGUAGAGUUUCUUCCAGCUUUCUUACUAUCCUUUACCUAUGUUCGUCUUACUUGUACUGUAGACUUAGUGGGUGGGCUGUUGAGGUCGGUGACGGUACCCACUGAGGACUACUCUGUUUUGCAGUAGUUCUCACACCCAGUUGUUGCCACCUUUUUGCAGAGCCGUCCACUGCUGCUGCUGUUGCUGAUUCUGACCGCGGUAAGGGAGUCGCGAGCUAGAUCCUUACCAUCCUUGGUCGCUGUGUUAGAGGAGUACCCUGCUGAGGUAAUUUUGGGGUUUGUAUGUACAUACCGUUAUGUUGUUGUACUCGCUGAAGUGAGGUUGUGCCCUGACUUUUGUACGUACAGUAGACCCUCUUUGUUUAUAUACAUGUUUUAGUUAGCAGCUCUUUACCUCUUGUGUAGCUAUAUCUUGUUUACAGGUACAGCUAUUGCUUCGUAUACUUAGAAACUUUCUAUGUAUACGACGGGUCUGUUGGCGUGCCCGGGGAAACGUGGUAAUCCGAGGCGUGACAGAUUAAGUUGGUAUCAGAGCUUAAAUUGGUCGUUGGGAGCUAGAAAAUCCUAGGCUUGGUAGACCUCAGGAAGGCAAGACGCAAGAGGCAUGACUUAUUGCGAAAGUCGGCGAUUGAGUUGUUUUAACUCCUCCUGGAGUGGAGGGAGUGACUGAAGGAGUAUCUGUUUCUGCCAGAUAAAUUAUGCCAGCUAUAGAUGGCAUACUUUUGCGGAGGAACAGAGGCGGCCUUCUAGACUUUCGCUUGAUUGGGUCGAGAGUUGUUUGUGUUUUGUAUUUGACCCUUGUUUUGGUUUCAGGUGGCCAUGAGGCCGUAUCGAUGCCGAGGUCGACCGCCGAUGCGGGAUCGUUCGGCGCCACCGGAGAUACCGGAGCAGGCGAGACUGAGUGCAACCGUGGAUUUGAGAGAGCAAUUAGCUGUCUUGACCGAGGUGACUAGGCAGCAGGGUGUGUUACUGCAGAGGAUGUGUGAGACAUUUCCUCAACAGUCGAGUGCCACGCUCGGAGCGUCAGAGCUGCAGGCGCCACCCCCGACUACCCCAGUGGCCGCACCAGCCACAGCUAUGCCCCCACCAGCGACAGCUCCUACAGCCCCAAUUGCACCUACUGGAGAGGAGUCACAGAUGUCAGAGGCGGGACAGGAGUGGAUGAUUGAGAGGCUAGCUCGUUUUUGCCGUUUCGAUCCGCCUCACUUCGAUGGUAGUCGCACCGAGCCCUGGGUUGUCGAGGCGUGGGUGAAUGCGAUGGAGAAGCUGUUUGAGGACCUUUUUGUACCGAAGUGGGAGCAGGUACAUCUGGCAGUACACUGUUUGGUAGGUGAUGUGCAUGCCUGGUGGAGGAGGAUGCGGCAGAACCGAGGUUUGGAUGCGCUACAAAUGAUGUAGGAUGAGUUUUGGGGGAUGCUGUACGGGGCCUAUUUCCCAAACAGCGUAAAGCAGAAACUCGAGGAGGAUCUGAAGAAGCUGCAGCAGGGGGAUUAGUAAGCACAGGAGUAUACACGAGACUUUACCAAGCUUCUGAACUGUGUGCUGUUUUAGCCAGGGAUGAGGCUCAUAAGGUCUAUCUGUAUGAGAGAGGAUUGAGGCCAGAGAUCUUUGUUUUGGUUCAAGCGCAGAGGUUGCGGACCUUGGAUGCGUUGAUUGAGCAGGCACUGUGGAUGGACCGAGGAGCUGUAUCGGUUCGUGAGCAGGCUACGGUGCCGGGACAGACUGAGGACAGGAAGCACCUGGUCCCAGAUGAUGAAGGACAGACCAGUGGCAGACGUAUGCCUAGGCCUCCACGAUCACGGUCUCAGGGUCGUACGUCUUCGGGGCGAUAGCGGUCUGGUGGACCCCGUCAGCAGCGUCAGUAGCAAGAGGCUCCACGAUGUAUCAUUUAUGGGGGACCACACUGGCCUUGACAGUGCGAGCAGAGAGAGGGCCGGUGUUUUGGAUGUGGCCAGUCAGGGCAUCUGCGGGCAGCUUGUCCCCGAGCAUGAUCACCAACACCUUCGACGGCGUCGGCCCCGCCGGUACUUCAGCAGACUUUUGGAGCACACUGAGCUAUAGCUAGGCUGACAGGGCUUCAAUGUCGCGGUAGAGUGAGCAGCGACAACAGGCGCAGAGCGACAGAGUUUAUGUGGCUCAGGUUGAGAACUCCACAUCAGCAGAUCGUGUGGUGGCAAGUAUUAUUUUGAUUUCGGACAUUAGAGCUUGUGCAUUAUUUGAUACUAGUGCAUCACAUUCUUUUAUUAGUCGAGCAUUUGUAUCAUUGCAUGGACUAGAGAUAGGGCUACUGUUACGUGCACGGGAGGUGCAGAUUCCCGACCAUGUUUUGCAGGUGACAGAGUGUUGUUGGGCUUGUCCAGUUCAGUAGGGACCCUGGAUUAUGCCUGCAGAUCUGUUGGUCUUAGGGCAGUUACAGGACUUUGAUGUAGUGCUUAGCAUGGAUUUGCUGGCUCGGUACUAUGCCACGAUCGACUGUGGAGCUAGAACAGUGACGUUCCACGAGCCAAGCAAGGAGGAGUUCACUUUUAGAGACUGCAGGAGUACGCUAUUCGCCACCUGGAUCUCUUCUGCGAGGGCUAGACUGAUGAUGAGUCGAGAAUGCAUCACUUUCCUGGGGAUGGUAGUAGAGGUGAUUACGGUGGUACCGAGAUUCGAGGAUAUCCCUAUAGUUCGUGAGUUUCCGGAUAUUUUUUCUCUUGAGUUGACGACUAUGCCGCCGGACAGGGAGAUUUGAGUUUGUGAUUGACGUGGUUCCGAAAACUGCGCCAAUCUCGAAGGCACCUUAUCAAAUGACACCGGCGGAGCUGAGGGAGGUUAAGGUGCAACUUCAAGAUCUGAUGGAUAAGGAGUAUGUGAGACCCAGCAUGUCGCCUUGGGGAGCACCGCUGUUAUUCGUGAAGAAGAAAGAUGGUUCACUUAGACUGUGUGAGGAUUACCGGGAGUUGAAUAAAGUGACCAUCAAGAACAAGUAUCCUUUCCCGCGCAUUGAUGACAUGUUUGAUCAGCUGCAAGAAUCUUGUGUCUUUUCGAAGAUUGAUCUGUAGUUAGGUUACCACCAGUUGAGGGUGAGGACCGAGGACAUUCCUAAGACGGUUUUGAGGACACGAUACGAGUAUUAUGAGUUUACAGUGAUACCUUUUGGAUUGACUAAUGCUCAUGCCGCUUUUAUAAAUUUGAUGAAUCGAGUAUUUAAGCCGUUCUUGGAUAGAUUUGUGGUAGUGUUCAUUGAUGAUAUUCUGAUUUACUCCCGUAGUGAUAUUGAGCACGAGGAGCACUUGAGGAUGGUAUUACGGCUUCUAAGAGAGAAGAAAUUGUAUACCAAGUUGAAGAAGUGUGAGUUUUGGUUUCGGGAGGUUUCUUUCUUGGGCUACGUGAUUUCAACAGUUAGAGUGGCAAUUGACCUAAAGAAAAUUGAUGCGAUUCGGGAUUGGCCCAGACCGACGACGGUUACCGAGGUGAGGAGUUUUCUUGGAUUGGUUGGUUAUUAUUGUCGGUUCGUGGAAGGCUUCGCGAAGCUUUCCACACCCCUCACUCGACUGACUCGUAAAGGAAUUAAGUUUAUUUGGAGUGAGGAUUGUUAGAAGAGCUUCGAUGAAUUGAGGCAGAGGCUGAUAUCGGCGCCUAUUCUUACCCUGCCAUUUAUGGGGAAAGGAUUUGUGAUCUUCAGUGAUGCAUCCUAUAGUGGUUUGGGUUGUGUUCUGAUACAGCAUGGUAGGGUAAUUGUUUAUACUUCCCGGUAGCUGAAGGAUUAUGAGAAGAAUUACCCUACGCAUGACUUGGAGCUUGCCGCUGUGGUGUUUGCUCUAAAGUCGUGGUGGCAUUAUCUGUAUGGUGAGCACUGUGAGAUCUUUACAGAUCAUAAAAGUCUUAAGUAUCUGUUCACCCAGAAGGAGUUGAAUCUGAGACAAGGUGGUUGGAGUUAUUAAAGGAUAAUGAUAUCAGUAUUCAGUAUCACCCCGGCAAGGCGAAUGUGGUGGCAGAUGUGCUGAGCAGGAAGUCGGUGCAGAGUCUUAGUAUGAUGAUUACUCAGCAGAGGCCGUUACUUGAGGACUUGCAGCGGUUUGGACUUAAGGUGGUGUCUGCUGGGACCACUGCGAGACUGAUGUCUAUGGUCUUGCAACCCACUCUAUUGGACAGGAUUAGGGAGAAAUAGAGUGGAGACUCUUAGUUGUUGAAGAUUCGGGAGUUGAUAGAGAGGGGACAGGUAGAGGAUUUCGCUGUGGACAGUUCGGGAGUACUGCGGUACAGGGACCGACUAUGUGUGCUUAUGGAUUCAGAGAUUCGAGAGGAGAUUUUGAGAGAGGCUCAUUCCUCGAAUUAUACGGUUCACCUUGGUGGAACCAAGAUGUAUAAGAAUUUAAAGGCACACUUCUGGUGGAAUAGAAUGAAGAGAGACAUUGGAAGAUGUGUAGCUCAGUGUCUGACUUGCCAACAGGUGAAGGAGGAGUAUCGUGUAUCUGCUGGCAAGCUUCAGAAUCUUCCAGUGCCAGAGUGGAAAUGGCCGGGAUCAGAUCACCAUGAACUUUUUCGUGGGUUUACCGAGAGUAUAGACUGACCAAGUCUGCCUAUUUCCUACCGGUGCAGACCACCUGGUCCAGGGAGCGACUCGCCGAGUUAUAUUUGGAUGAUGUAGUGAGGUUGCAUGGUGUGCCUACCUGGAUUGUAUCAGAUAGGGACCCGAGGUUCGUCUCGUGUUUUUGGAGGAGCCUUCAGAUUGCUUUGGGUACGUAGCUUCACUUCGGUACGGCCUUUCAUCCACAGACAGAUGGUCAGUUGGAGCGGACCAUUCAGACUCUAGAGGACAUGUUGAGAGCUUGUGUCCUGGAUUUUAGAGGAGGGUGGUAUCGACACUUCAGAUUGGUUGAGUUUGCGUACAACAAUAGCUAUCAAGCGAGCAUUCGAAUGGCUUCGUUUGAAACGUUGUAUGGACGCAAGUGUCGAUCUCCUUUGCAUUGGAGUGAUAUGGGUGAGAGAAAGAUUUUGGGCCCUGAUAUUCUGUUGGAAGUAGAGAAAAAGGUCAGCGAAUUGCGAUGACAUCUUGAGACCGCCCAGAGUCGACAGAAGCUUAGUUAGUUAAUUCGCGAUUAUAACGCGAAUUUUUAAAUAUACGAAUUAAACGGCCCCGUUCCGUAUUUUUUCGAAAAGUUCGAAAAAAAACGCGAUUUCUUCGUCAAAAAAAAUUGUUCGCGAAUUAUUCGCGAUUCGCGAAUUAUUCGACCAAAAAAACGACGCUCGCGGUCGCGGAUUCGCGGCCGAGGGUCACGUCGUCGCCGCGCUCGUGGUCGUCACCGUGCUCGUGGUCACGGAUUUGCGGCCGAGGGUCGCGUCGUCGCCGCUCUCGUCGCCAAACUCGUCCGGAUCGUCCUUCUCCUCCUCCGCCGCCCUGGCCGGCGCCGGGAGCAAGAGCCGCGCUCGUGGCCGUCCGCGGAAAAAUGGAAGAGGAACAGUGGAAAAAUAUUGGGGCUUUUGGAGGUGCAAUUGUGCGUGGUCCACGAGGCCACUUUGUGGCCUCAUGGACCGCAUGAGAGGGAGGUCCACGGUGGACCUCCCUCUCAUUAAUCAUUAUAUAUAUAUAUAUAUAUAUAUAUAUAUAUAUAUAUAUAGAGUGAGGCUACUAUGCUUCUGGAAGCACGGAGCCCUCCGUGCUUCCAGGUCGUUUUCGAUGUUUCGACUUUCGAAUCGUUGAUCGGUUCCGUUAAACUUGAUCUAGAGUAUCUGAAGUACUUAGAAAAUAAAUUUUAUGAUUUUUCAAUAUCAUUUGCCUAGUGAUCGAAGGGGCUCAAAAUCAAAUAAUUUUAAUGGCCAUAGUGAGCCGUUUGCAAGUUUAACGGUGUAGAAAUAUCCAAAUCACGUGAAAUUUUGAUAGAAAGUUCUUUAUACUAUAUAAAAUAAGAUCAAUAUCUUUGAUCUAAAAAUUAAUGUCAAUUACACGUAUUUGUAAGAUUUUACUUUUCAGCCGUUGGAUUUGAGCCCUUCGUUCAAUUAGCAAAACUACUAUCGAAAAAUUACAAAUUUAUUUUCUAGGUACUUCAAAAUACUCUAAUCAAGUUAAUGCCAGCCGCUCGACGAUCGAAAGUCGCAGUCACAUCGAAAACUCGGGACUCUGGAACACGAAGGCUCCGUGCUUACCAGAAGCAUAGUAGCCUCAUUUAUUUUUUAUAUAUAUAUAUAAGUAUAUAUAUAUAUAUAUUAUUAUAGCAUAUAUAUAUAUAUAAUAUAUAUAUAUAUAAUUUAUUUAUAAUAUAUAUUAUUUAUUUAUUAUAUAUAUUUUUGAUUAAAAUAUAUAAUUAUUCUUAAAUUCUAAUACAUAACUCUUAUAAAUUAUAUUAAUAUUAUUAACAUUGAAAUAAUUUAAUUUAAUAAACAGAGAUAAAAAGUAAUAAUAUAUAUUAGUAUAUAAUUAUAUAAUAUUUAUUAUGAAAACCGAAUUUUGAUUGCGAUUUUAAUGUAACUAUACAUAUCCGAUAAAUCACGUAUCCAAAUAAUACAAUCGUUUUUUUACCCGUCCAUUUUCAAACCGAAUUUAAAAAUUAAAAGUCGAAUUUUAUCCAAUUAUAGCCCGUACAUAACUAUGACAAAAGAGUAUGUUGAUGCAGGAACGAGAUUUUGGAGUUUUAGGUUGGUGGAUUCAUGUUUUCCUGAAAGUCUCGUCGUCCUGCAGGAUUUGCAGAUAUUGAGUCGUGGAAAGCUCUGUCCACGUUAGUUGCCGCUUUCCGAGAUUUUGGAGCCAGUCGCUAGCGCUUACAGGAUUGCUACUCCUACCGCGACUUCUGGUAUCCAUGAUUGUCCCAUGUGCUCGCUUUAGAGAUAAGUGUGCUCCUCUCACAUGAUUGACUUCACUCCACUUUAGUUAAGCGAGGACCUGCGGUACGAGGAACGACCGAUGCUGAUUCUUACUUGUGAGACGAAGGAAUCACGAGGGACUUGCUGGUCAUACCGUACGUGAAGGUGCAGUGGAGUAACACGAGGAACAUGAGGCAACUUGGGAGCCGGAGAUUGUGAUGCAGGAGUCCUACCCCUACUUGUUUGAGGCUCCAUGUUGAGGUAUAAUUCUAUGUUUCGAGGAUGAAGCUUUUUGUAGUGGGGGAGGAUGUAGUGUCCCUGGGGUUUAGCUGUCCGGGUGACUAUAGCAUUUGUAGCUUGUCAAUACGUCUGAGAAUGUCGGGACGAGUCGGAGUCGUUUUGGUGCAAAACUGACGCGAAAACAGACUUGGUGCUGCGCGAGUUGGAGUUCUGACCCUGAAAUCUGCAAAGUGUAGGAUUUCAGUGUUGAGUACCGGUACCUGGGUUGGGUAUCGGAACCCCAGAGGGAUUACGCAAAAGGGAAGCUCUUGGGUUUGCGCAUUUCAGUGCUAAGUACCGGAACCUGUUGUUGAGUACCGAUACUGGGACUGAGUACCGGUACCGCAUCUGGCUAGUACCGGUACCCAGCGCGCGAACUAUACUGGCUGGCGUGCCGAGUGCCGGUACCCAAGCUGAGUACCGAUACCCCAGAGGCAGAUUUGAGUUGGUAAGGGGUAUUUUGGUCUUUUUGGUUGUCGAUGUUAUCCACAAACCGACCCUCAGCCAUAUAUAUUUGUGAUAGAGCUUUCAGAAGGAGGGAAACUAUUUCUCUUUCUCUCUCUCUAGCAAUUGGAGGUACGAGCUGAUUUUCCUUUUCGUCGUCUUGGAGGAUUGCUCCUGUGCCGUGGCCGAUUCCGGUUGAGCCCGUUUGAGGUCGAGCUAGCGCGGGAUUUCUCCUAUCGACUUCUAGCCGACGUUGGACGAGCUUUCGAGGUGGGUUAAUGUAUACCGAAAUCGUCGGAUUUCCUUCUAGGCCAUAGAGUUGUCAGUAUGUAUUUCUUGGCUUUGUUCAUCACGUUUAGUAGCUCGAAUUGAUAGAUUUGCAUGUCUUUUAUGAAAUCUGAAUUUGGAGACUAAUUUAAUAAUUUUAGAAGAUUUGUUACAUGCUGUAUUAGGAUUUGACUUAGGAGAAAACUCGUAAAACCUACACUAUCACUUUUCGAAAAGUAACUGAAUUAGUUUCAGGAGCUGUUAUUCUUUUGUAUCACUGCUGUUAGUGCAUAGUGGAUACUCAGAUUAGUAUAGGUUAAGGUUACGCUCGUGCUGAGGGGCCGAGCUUAUUUUUACAGUAGGGUUUGGACUGUUUUGUACUGUCGGGAGCCGUCGGGGGUUGACGGUGGACCCAGAUAUUUACAUCUUGUUUUAGAUUAUGCCGAGAGCACGUGAGCUUUGGUUGUUAGAUCUGUUUGACCAAUUUGCAUUGACUAUAACCUGUGUGAGCCUGAUUGAGCUCGACAGAGACACGCUUGCAUACUUGGUUGGGUCGCUCUAAUGCGUGCCACUCCGGAGUGAGGCUUUACUUGCGUUGGUGUCGUAGCAAUUCCGUUUGGGCAGUUCUUGGAUCGACCACCCCUAUGGGUGGUGUGCGGUGUAGCUUGAGUAUAGGCUAGACGGGCAAGUUGGCAGUCCUUUGAGAUUGGGUCAGUGUGUAGCUAGUGAUGCAUUUUUGUGUCUACAGUGAGCCUGGUUGGAAUGGCGAUAGUAUAGUAGAAUAUAACUGUAGAGUUUCUUCCAGCUUUCUUACUAUCCUUUACCUAUGUUCGUCUUGCUUGUACUAUGGACUUAGUGGGUGGGCUGUUGAGGUUGGUGACGGUUCCUACUGAGGACUACUCUGUUUCGCAGUAGUUCUCAGAGUCGUCCACUGCUGUUGCUGUUGCUGAUUCCGACCGCGGUAAGAGAGUCGCGAGCUAGAUCCCUACCACCCUUGGUCGCUGUGUUAGAGUAGUACCCUGCUGAGGUAGUUUUGGGGUUUGUAUGUACAUACCGUUAUGUUGUUGUACUCGCUGGAGCGAGGUUGUUCCUUGACUUUUGUAUGUAU
Molecule: long non-coding RNA, 47471 nt
Filed under: Ananas comosus (pineapple)
Lineage: Eukaryota; Viridiplantae; Streptophyta; Magnoliopsida; Poales; Bromeliaceae
Description: long non-coding RNA (ACOM_LNC013735)
Source: RNAcentral